AGGAGCUGUGGAGACAUGGUUGGACUUCAUUACAUGUUGCUGCCACAAUCAAGAGAUGGAAGAGUCCAGAUGGCGGCAGUUUUGAUGCUUACUUGUGAAAAUGGUGUGAUAUGUUUGAUGAUAAUACUUUCUAGUAUGUGUUUUCUUGACCUGUCAGUCUUCUGAUGCGUAGACACAGAGCAGAACUUCUAUGGCACGGAAUGCAAGAGAAGAACAGACUUGUUGUGGAUGCUAAAUUCUGUGCUUGUUUGUUUUGCUGUCCGUCUCAUUCUGUCAUUCGCCUUAAAACUUUUGCCCAUAAGCACUCUGGGCGGUUGGCCUUUUAGAAAUUUUAUUAUAUAAUUGGGGCCAUCCGAUCUCUCUUUCCCCUAUCAACCGUGCGAGAAUCGCUGGCCGCUGCCUCGGUAGACUUACGCCUUCCACGCCAGCGACGUUGACGUACGGACUCGAGGAGAAGCACAACGGCCACCCUUCCCGGCCAUGUUCGUCGUGAUCGCUGAUGGCCGCUGUCUGACAUGCAAACAACGUUGCACAUCUCUGAGUCUGGCUGCUGCCACUUCGAACAUCCACAGCUGGAUCUCUCAAACCAUCUUUCAUAUGCUUGCGGACGCGCCCCGAUCAGUGGCCGGAUAGGAGAGAAGGAAAAAAAUGACCCAACUAGACCCCCCAUAUCUUUCAUCUUUCAUAUGCUUGCGGACGCGCCCUGAUCAAUGACCGAAUAGGAGAGAGAGGGAAAAAAGUAACCCAACUGGACCCCUCAUAUCUUUCCUAUAUGUCUGGUCUGUCCGCGAACCCGUGUAUCUAUCUCAAAUAUGGGGGGAUAUGAGGGCUCGCGGACAAGCCGGGGCGCGCCCGAUCAAUCCGUCACAUAAGACGCGGCCUCACCCUCGACCACCUUUUCUCUUCCUUUAAUCAUUCUUUUCUUUCUCCAUCUUUAUCUACCUCAAUCAUGGGCAAGUGACCGGACAGAUGAGGAAGAAAAUGAGGACUGCGCGGAUGAAUAAAUAGGGGGAGAACGUUCAUCAUCCGACUGAUCUUUCUCUCUCAUAAGCCUCCUUCUCCACGCGCCACGUACCCACGUCAGGCUGCCCACCGCUUCGCCCCAGCCUUAUCCUAUCUCUAACGAAGCUCCUCCACUCAUUUCUUCAUUUUUUUCUCCCUCUUACAACUCAUCGCCAGAGGAGAUUAGCCAUGGUGAGCACCACCACCAGCAGCUAGAAAAUCAGAAGAGUUUGACGCCGGCCGUAGGCACUAGCGUCGGAGCUCCUCCCUUGCAUUGCUGCAGGCGGCAUAGCUGCAAAGCAGCGUCCAUGGAGCGAAGCCAUGGCGAGCACCACCACAGCAGCGGGGGAACUGGGAGGUGCUGCUGGCAAUCGAAACGGCGCUCGUCGACGAACGCCGGUGCUGCUUUCAUCCAUGGCCGCCGAGAUGGGACACAGCAACUUGUCCACGGCCGUUGCGCUACGUUGCGCUAGGUUGCAAUCUUGUCUGCAUUGCGAUGCAAUCUGGUGUGCCGAUGGAGCGCUCGGCGUCGGCGGCGGAGCUGCAAUGGAGCGCUCGGAGCCGGCGGCGGAGCUGCAAUGGAAGUGCAAGUCGCCGGCGGCGGAGCUGCAAUGGAGCGCUCGGAGCCGGUGGCGGAGCUGCAAGUCGCCGGCUAUGGAGUUGCAAUGGAGCGCUCGUCGGCGGCUCCCCCGUACUGCAUCGCAGCGCUUGCCGACGGCUCAAUGUAGCAUCAUCGGUGGCUCAAUGCAGCGUCGUCCGUGGCUGAUGCAGCUUUGCCGGCAACUCUUGGGGGAGCCCGUGUCGCAAGUCGCAACUGCACGCUUGGAGUCUUCGUUGUUGCCACGACCGGCGACAGUUACGCGUUUGCAAGGCGAGGAACGGCUGGGGCAAGCUUGGUGCUGCAAGCGAGCGGCUGCGAGCUAGUUCAGGGCUGCGACCCAGUGUGUGGGGAUUUUUGGCAAGGCUGCGACACAAGGAAGACGAGGCCACGCUCGGCGUCGUAUUGCGUGAGAGCGACACGGUCAAGUACAAGUUGACUAAUCGUACGUCUGUGAGAGCUUUGAUCGGACGGCUGGGACCCGAUUGAUUUCUCAUGAAAUCAGUCGAAUGAUUUUUAGCAGCCGUCAUAAAUAGGGGUUUAAAAUAAACACGCCCGGUCACUGACCGGGCACGGCCGCAGACAUUUGAGGGAUCGAAUUAGAGGUACGUGGCUGAAGAUGCUCUUGCACCUCCAUGCAUGCAGCCCAAAAUGGUACACGGCCGCAUGAAGCACAAUUGUGCUUAAGUGUUUUUUUCUUCAAAAGUGAAAUACGGUAGUGCUUCGGUUUGGAGCGCAAUUGUGUUUUUGUGCUUUUCACAAAAGUGAAGCACAAAUGUGCUUUCGUGUGAAAGCAUAACUGCUUUUCCCGGUAAGUGAAUAACAAAUGUGCUUCCCCGUGAAACAUACUUGUGCUUUUAUGGUUAUUUUCUUUUUCUUUUUACGGUUACCGUUUUUUCAGUAUUUCGUCUUUUGUCUCUAUUUUUUGUUUGGUUUUUGGGAUUGGGCCAAAAAAAUGUUCGUCGAAACCUGUCAAAGUUCGAGGAUCUCAACGUGAGAAAUGCAACGGUAAAACGAUUCAUGAUUUGAACGGAUGGUUCAAGAGAUAAAUUAUUUUGAUGAAACAACUCUACAAAGAAAAGCACAAACAAAUCCACAUGCCUCCCGUGUAUGUGAAGAAAUCUCACCAAAAAAUUCAUAGGUUGUGACAAGAAUCGCACAUAGAUUACGCCACUUGUCACCACAAGAGAAGAUGGGACUGUCCCUUGCAAAAAGUACCCCUUAAGGUUGUAGAGCACAGGGACGAUGCCAUCAUAAGGGCAUGUAUGAUCGACCGCCUCGAGUAGUCGCGUAAUGUGAUCCCCAAGUGGCCAAGUCCAACCAUGAUCCGUUUUGGAGUAGACAUGUCUACCUGGAUAUGGAACAAGAAAACUGGGAACCUCCUAUAUGACGCAUUUUGCCUCGUAUAGGAGCUCGACGCAGACGGGCGACGCUCGACUUGGCCAGCCCACCGACACGAAAGCCACUUGUGUUUCCUAGUGCGCAACCUAAGAAAUCCUAGAAAACAAUAGAGCACGUGAGGAUUGGAUCCCACGAUCUCGCUCACACCAUACUCGCGACUGCGACCAGUUAGCCACUCCACCACACAGUCGCUGCUGAACAUGAAGCGCGAAACUCUAUAGCACACACAUCAGGGUUGAUAUAUGGAAAACAUUUUAGAAACAUUUCUUGAAAAUUGUGAACAAUUUUUAAAUGCCGCAAAUAUUUUUUGAUAUUCCAAAUUUGUUUUCUGAAAAAAUGUGAACAACUUUUGUAAUAUAGAAUUAGAAAACACGGACAUUUUUUGCACAACCCAAACAGUUUAAUGAAGUUGUGAACAAAUUUUGAAAAAAAGAACAUUUUUUGAAUUUCCUGAUUUUUUUUGAAAACACAAACAUAGAAAAAUUCGAAAAUGAGAACAUUUUUGAAAUACCUGAUUUUUUAAAUUGCGAUUUUAAUAAAAGAGAACAUUUUUUGAAACACGGACAUUUUUCGAAAUUGUGAACAAAAUAUGAAAAUAAAAACAUUUUUUGAAAUUCUUGAAAAUUUGUUGAAAUUGGCAACAAAUUUUAAAAAUGAGAAAAUAUUUUGAAAUUCCAAAUAAUUAUUACAAAUUUUCAAACAAAAGAAACAUUUAAAAGGAAAUAGAAAAUAGGAAAUAAAAAAGAAAUAAAAAAGAAAAUGAGAGAGAAGCAGAACAAGAAAAAAAGAAAAAGAAAAUGAGAGAGAAGGUUCUAGAAGGUUCCCAAAACCGAUAAAAACCGCUAGGAACCCUCUAGAAGAUUCCCAAAACUAUAACGUUGUACAUAUUACAGAUUGGCUGGCCCAAUCGCUCGCUCGGACGCUUCCUAUGUGCGAUUGGUCGGUAGUUUGAUGCAAAAUGCAUUAAACAUGGAUUUCCGGAAAACUUAUCGUGGUCUAGACUUAAGUAACAAAAAAGGGUAGAAGUAGCCCAGUUGUAGCCCAAAUUUGAUAUCUAUAAUUGUCUGAGUGCCGACCGUGUAGGUAAUCCCUAUUUUGCGCUUCAGGCGCCAGUUAUAGGCCAUUUUGCUUUUUUUUGAGGUAAACAGCUAAGUUUUAUUCAUCAAUCCAUAUGUCUACAAGUACUCCCUCCGUUCCUUUUAUGUAAGGUGUAUUAUUUCCGGCACGGUGACCAAGACACAGAAAUAUAUGCAUGUUAGGACGAAAUUACCCUUGACAAAUUUAUUUGUUAGUGCUAAGUAAAUCAGUUAGUCAAGGAAAUUAAAGUAUGAGAUACAUGCAAUUGACAGAGAGAUACUUUCCUUCUUUUGUUACAAGGAGAGAUACAGACAAUCAGGAGAGAGAUACUUUCCCUUUUUCUGGAGGGCUAACAAGAGAAUUAUGUGGAAUUAGAAAAAAUGCACCUUACAUUCUACAAUUUUAUCAAAAAACAAAUACACCUUAUAUAAAGAAACGGAGGGAGUAUUACAUAAGGAUCAUGUGGUUGCCCCAACCAAAUGUGGCGGCCUUGAUCCAACUUAAGAGCAUGCGUAGCUAGUUUAUGUGGCUCAACAUUUGAGCUCCUAGAUUAAAAUUUAAAAACACAAGAAAUGAAGAGAUAUUUCCACUCCAAAAUCUCCUUGACUACUCCACCAUAGUUUCCACCCUACACUUCCUUGAUAUGCUUAACAACUGUUUCGCAAUCCGACACGAUCACUAAGUUUGUAGCCCAAGAUCUUCUGCUAGUUAUAGUCCCUCCCGGCAUGCUAUAGCUCAAGACUGGCUGGGUCCGUCAGGCCCCGUAUGACAAAAACAAAAGAACCCAAAUAUGCACCUGAGCCAUUUCUACACACCGCGGUCGCUGUCCCGACACCACGAGAGACGGCGGCAUCAACAUUGAUCUUCAAAUGACCCUGAACAGCCGGAAUCCAUCUCCUUGGUGCUGCUACUGCUGUAUUACAUACCCAGUUCCCACUAGAGGGGUGAAUCUCUCCCAGCUCCAUAAUGAAGUGGGUAAUGAACAUAUAAGUGGACAGAGGGCUCUGAUCAAUUCCCUCAUGAAUCAGUCUGUGCCGCGCCCACCAUAUAGGCCAGGUAGUGACUGUUAACUUAAUAAAUAUCUCAUGCGAGAGCUGCUCAAACAGAGUAAACAACUAGUCCUCGCGUUCUGUUCAUUAUUUUCCAUCAACUCUUCGAUCAGCUCCUUGUCAACUAAUGACCACACACAACGAGCAGCCGUACAAUCCAGUAGGUUGUGCCUCCAAGAGUCCAGCAUGCCACAAAUAGCGCAAGUACAUGUUGCCGACAUAUUCUGGUGCAUUCUCAUGUCUUCCGUCGGUAUGGAAUGAUGCACUAGUCUCCAUAAAAAUACUCAGAGUUUCGUCUCCAUCAAAAUACUCAGAGUUUCGUUGGAACGUAAGUUUUCCAUAGUUUGACCCAACUCUUAUCCUCUUCCUUCCUACUCUAGGGCCCCGGGCGCUGUUCUAACAAGUCUUCACGCCGGCACUUUGUUUCAACUAUCAUACGAUAAGCAGACCUAAUAGAAAACUUCCCAGAUUUUUCAUGCAUCCAUCACCAGUAAUCAUCCACAACUCAAGCAAAUAGGGAUUUGCAGUAUCUCAGCCGCAUCACAAGGCAGAAAAACAUGGUUUACGAGCUCCAUAUUUCAUCGGGCGUUCACUGUAUCAAUUAAUUUAGAGACAAGUUGCGGUGGAUCCAGCACUCUAGACACCAUCGGCCUCAUGAACUCCGGUCUUGGGAUCCAGUCAGUGUUCCUGAUUUUCAUGGAGGAACCAUCACCCAGUGGCGGAGCUUGGGACACAUCUUAGGAGGGGCAAAUGGGCUGGGGGGAGGGGGGGCAACCAACAUCUGGUUUAGGCUAGAUUUCUAUGAAUCUGUGGGCAGUUUACUCAUGAUAAUAUGAACAAAUCUCCUGGGCAGGGGGGGCGAUGGCCCAGGUUGAUCUUCACUAAGCUCCGCCACUGCCAUCACCUAUGCAUCUAACCAAGCCCUAUUUCAUGAUAUCCCUACCCUCCAAUAUUGAUCUCCAAACCUGGGAAGGGUGAUUUGAUUUCCCAAGUUGGCCUCAAGGAUGGAGCAUGAGGGAAAAAUACACAAUCUUCAGUAUGCGAGCACCGAGAAUGUUGAGGGAAACUAGAAUCCUCCAAGAUUGUUGACCAAGUUGAACAAUUCAAAAUCCCUGAAACCAAGGCCACCCAUGUACCUUGGCAUAGUCAUCUUGUCCCAUGAAACCCAAUAGGGCUUUCUCUUCCCCUGUUUGCUUCCCCACCAAAAGGCCCUAAUAGCUGAAGUUUAUUUUUCACACAACCCACGUGGGAUCUUGAAACACGACAUCGAGAAGACAAGAAUAGCUUGUGCCACUGAUUUGAUUAAAACAUCUUUACCUGCUGCUGAAAGUGUUUUCUCCAUCCACCCUCUAAUCUGUUCCACAGCCGGUCAGCAGAUACUUGAAGGCACCAUUUUUGGAUGAUCCUACAUCCCCAAAUAUUUCUCACUUAGUUGCUCAUUGGGAAAUUGUAAAAUAAUCUUCACCUAUGCUCUUACCACUUUUGGACACCCUUUACUAAAGAAAAUCGAUGAUUUGUCUUUAUUUACUCUCUGUCCAGAUGCUCUAGCAUAGGCAAAAUGGACUCCGCCGACGAGUUCUUUUUCCGUAAAUUCCUUUGCGACUCCGACGAUUCAUCGUCCGAUGAUGAUGAGGAGAUCUUGGUGUUGGGGAACGUUGCAUGAAAAACAAAAAAUUUCUAUGCACACACAAGAUCUAUCCAUGGAGAUGUAUAGCUACGAGAGGGGAGAGUAUCUUCAUACCCUUGAAGAUCGCUAAGCGGAAGCAUUUAUCAACGCGGUUGAUGUAGUCGUAUACCUUCACGAUUCGUCCUGAUCAAGUACUGAAUGUACGGCACCUCCGUAUUCAGCACAUGUUCAGCUCGAUAAUGUCCUCGCCUUCUUGAUCCAGCAAGAGGGGCGAAGUAGUAGAUGAGUUCCGGCAGCAUGACGGCGUGGUGAUGGUGUUGGUGAAGAACAAUCCCGCAGGGCUUUGCCAAGCACAACGGAAACUAGACAGAGGAUAAACUAGAGUGACGGGGUUGCCAGCACACGGCUUAGUGAAUUUCGAUGUGUCCCGUGUGCUAGCCCCGCCUCUCUAUUUAUAUGUUGAGCCCUUGGUUAAAACUUGGAGUAAAAGCCUUCUCGAAGUCGGUUUUGCCCGAUAGGCAAGAGUCCUUCUCGGACUCGAGGACCAGACGCCACAGUCCUUGGCCUCUGGCCCAGACGCCAUGGGCCUCGACAUCUUGCCCAGGGCCAGACGCCAGGGUCUCCGGGAUUUGGUCUCUGACCUCCGCAAAACUUCCUUUUGCACCGACCUAAAGCCCCCUGGGCCUUACCCGUUGGCCUAACCAUAUCAUCAUAUAUAUCAAUCUUUACCUCCGGACCAUUCCGGAGCUCCUCGUCAUUUCUGUGAUCUCAUCCGGGACUCCGAACAACAUCCGGUCCACAACAUACAUAACUCAUAUAAUAUUAUAUCAUCAACGAACGUUAAGUGUGCAGACCCUAUGGGUUCGAGAAUGAUGUAGACAUGACCGAGACGCUUCUCUAGUCAAUAACCAAUAGUGGGACCUGGUGGAUGACCAUAUUGGUUCCUACGGGUUCGGUACUAGAUCGGUUGGAUCGUGAAGACGUUCGACUACAUCAACCACGUUAACCUAACGCUUCCGCUUUUGGUCUACGAGGGUACGUGGACACACUCUCCCCUCUCGUUGCUAUGCAUCUCCUAGAUAGAUCUUGCGUGAGCGCAGAUUUUUUUUUUGAAAUUGCAUGCUACGUUCCCCAACAAUUUGUGCGCUUUACCAAGACCAAUGUCGUGAAACACACCAUGGUAUAUUUUGUAUCUUUUCUCUUUUUUCCUUCAUAGCACUAUAUGGCAAGAUGUCUAACAUUGUGUGCUCUAUUUUGUUUCUAAUCACGGGGAUCAUAGAAAUUUUCUAUGCGACGUGGUUUAUUUGCAAGCUUUAGAUGUCUUGAGCAAGAAUCUAUUAGAUUAAGAUGGUUGCAAAACGGAAUUAAAAAGUAUAUGUGUGAAGCAAUUAUUGUUGAACUAAUAAAAAUACAUAUGCCCAUGUUCCAACACAUGGGUAAUUAACUAGUCUACUAUAGACAAACAUACAUUUAGCAAUCAACACCUUUCUUCUACCAGAUAUGUGUCAACACAUGCCAUUGCCUCCGGGAUUACCUCCAUGCCGCCGCCUUGGUUACCUUCCCCUCUCCAUUCCAACAGCCUUGUCGGUGAUUAGAUAAGUGGGGCAAUGUCCCUUCGUAAUUCUUAGUUAUAGUGAUUCCUUAUAUUUUUACCUUAGGUUUUGGUUUCACCACGGCAUCGAUGAGGUGGCGAUCACAUGGAUGGUUGGAAGAAGGUCUCUUUGGCAUGUCUCUACCUUGAAGACAUAUGAUCUGAUGCUUAUGAAGGGCCAGUGAGGAUAGGUGAUGCGAGAUAUCUUGGCUCCCUUUGGGUCUGGCACUUGAUGUGUGGAUAAAAGAGAGUGGUUGGCUAGCUUUUGGUGCAGUGACUUUGACUUCUUCUUUCAGUUCUAUCUAUGGCAAUCUGAUUUCUUCCACCCUGUAGAUUGGUGGAGUAGGAUUGAAUGUCUGCGCUGUUCAAUGGGUGACUAUUGCAUUCAACGGUUCAAGAAUGCACUAGAUGAUGCUCCUUCAACGGUUACUAUAUUUCUUUGCUAUCAAUGGGUGACACUUGCAUUCUUGAAAGGCUUAUGUGAUGAGGGUGUCCGCAACUCUUCCUUUUCCGUACAAUCUUCUCAGUGCAUUCUUCAAGCUCAAGUAUAUGACAAACUGUCGAAGGAAGAUGUCAAGAAAGGCAUUGAAUAUGAUAUUAUUUUUAGAGGUCGUUUUAUGCCACGUUACCCCUUUUGUACUAACUAUUGUAUUCACUAAUAAAUAUUAUCUGUAAGAUGCCCUUGGGUAUCAUCUCUAAAAAAAUAUAGACACUUCUAUCAAGAUAUUUGUUGGAUACUUCUCUAUAGUUCAAACACUUUGUCAUUAUGUUGCAGGACACAAAAUGCAGUAGGACGUAUACAUGUCUUAAGCCUUAUAUUUACUAUUUAUUAACCAGGAUAUGUUCUUUCUGAUUGUUCAUCCCCACCUCUCACGUAUAUUUUACUGCUAAGGAUAUUCUAAAAAAUGACAAACUAACUUGAAUUCAAGAUAACUAAUCUACAAUAAACAAAACUUAACCACGCCUGUCAAAUCUCUAAAAAAUUAUAAUAAAUAUAUAGAGGCCUGUAAUUUCAUAUUUAUCUUUAGUUUUCUGCAUGCCUAGAAAGAGCCAAUCUAAAAUAUUUUCCUAAAUGCAAAUUUAUCAAGAUGAGAACAAUUCAUGUUAUUUCUAUUGUAAAAUGCAAUUCAGAAUCAGACUAAACGGUUGGAAAUAUUAAACUUAUGUGGUUAAUUUUGUUAGGUGUAAUAAAAAACUGUAUUUACAAAAUAAUCAUAAAACUUCUUCCUGGAAAUACCAAGGGUUCAUCAGUCCAAUCAGACCAGUUUAUGUAUUCAAUGUAAGACCCACCAUGAGAUGCAAGUCUGUCUCUUCAAGCUCUUAGCUGAUGCAUAAGAAAUCGGGGCAGCAAAAAAGUUCUGUCGAAAGGUUUGAUGAUUGGGCAGGAACAAAUUCGUUUGAAUCAACGAGCUACUGGUUAUGGGCAGCAAGUUAGUAUUAUUCUUGCUCAAUAUAAUGCAUGCAUUUUCAUUUUUUGUGUAGGUUGCUAUUUGUGAUUCACCUCAAUGUACUUGGUUUUUUGAUAGUUCAUUUCUCAUACGACAUGAACUUCUGGUUGUUCUUACUGAAAGUGUAAUUCAAUAUGACCUAAGUUAUACAAUAUGAUUUUUUUCUUCAAUUGAAAAUAAUAAUUUCCGGAUUUUACAUUCUUGCAAGGGUAGAAGAGGUUGCAGACAAACCAAUUUAUAUGUGGACACUUCAUAUUGUCAGUGGGCAUACUCUUGGUCAUUUAUGUGCUGCAAUGGUGCCUCUUUUUUUUAUUCUCAUGUUAGCGAAAAGGACAAGGCCAAUUUAACCAGAAAGGUAUGAACUGAUAAUUCCAUAGACUCAUGUGUAAAGUGGAAUUUGAUUCAACCGUGCAUGAUUUUUCUUACCAAACUUAAUGUGGUGAGUACCAGUCCAACAAAUACUUUCCUCGUUCCUUUCCAAAUAUUUGUGUUUCUUCAUCCAGUCUAGUUCUGCUAACAAUUUCACCACAUUAAGGUUGGAUUUGCUCAUGUGACAUGGUUGUUUGUUUGGUUGUGUGGUGAAGGGCAUGUGCUUGGAGAUGGGGAAGUGUCUCAUCCAUGAUCCACACAAUAUAUUUGAUGCAUUUAUUGGAUACAUUUAUUUAACAAUCAUUGAAAAAAUUGCGAACGCCACUGCGUUGCAUCAUUAUGCCAUACAUUAUUUUAUUGCAUUCAUCUGCUUAUGCAUUUUGGCCACCACUAGAGUUUCCAUUGUUUUAUAAGUAUAUUGUAAUUUUUAUGCUGACCAAUAUGUCCAAAUGCUCUUAUAUAUCAACUACUCAACCAUAUGCAGUGCGUGUUUAUGUCUUGUAGGGGUAAAAUCAACAACAAAAACAACAACAACAACGACGACGAUAACAAAGCCUUUAGUCCCAAACAAGUUGGGGUAGGCUAUGCUGAAACCCAUAACAUCUCACAACGAACUCAUGGAUCUGGCACAUGGAUAGCUAGCUUUUACGCACCUCUGUUCAUGGUUAGUUCUUUGGUGAUACUCCAGUCAUUCAGAUCUCACUUUACGGACUCCUCCUAUGUCAAGUUUGGUCUACACCGACCUCUCUUGACAUUAUACUCCUUAAUGACCCUCUCUUUGGAUGGUUGAGCUACCCCCGGGCUUCCACCACUUCGUUCUAGUGACUUUGGCACGCUUAUCCUGUUGGGACAUGAAUCCGAAAGAGAAAGUCAUUCACCACAAGCUUAUGCUGAGGGACAACACUCUCUCCAGGUAUCACCUUACAAUCAAGACAAGCACGCCAGUCUUCUCUUCUCAAGAGGAUGAAAUCAAUCUCACUAGAGUGUUGACCACUACUAAGAGUCACUAGAUGUGAUUCGUGUUAAAGUGGAUGUUAGCUAUGAUCAUCGUAGGCUAGAGGAAAUCUUAAGACAUCUUCUCCUUCUUGAUUCCUGAUGCGAUAGCCAAAGCCCCGAUGCAUCGCUUCAAAACCUAUGUUAGAUGUAUCCACGUGGCCAUUGAGGUAUCCUCCUAUGAAGAGCUUCUUGCCAAUAGGUACUCCUAACCAUGUUCUCCAUGCCUUCCUAGAACUCCUUGGUGUUCUCAUUGUGGCCUACUUGCGGGGCAUACACGUUGAUAACAUUUAGAACUAAGUCCCCAGCUUGACCAGGACAAUCUGGUCCCCACGCCUCCUGACGUCUACCACUCCACACUUGAGGCUCUUGUUGAUCAAGAUGUCUAUUCCAUUCCUGUUUGUAGUUGUCCCCGUGUACCAUAGCUUGAAGCCGGUAUCUCCACCUCCUUUGCUUUCUAUCCUCUCCAUUUGGUUUCUUGGACUCAAAAUGAUAUCAACACCUCUCCUCACCGCUGUAUGAACUAGCCCCUGAAGUUUACCUGUCAGGGUUCCUAUUUUCCAGCUACCUAAACGAGUCCUCCUAGGCUCGGCUAGCUUCCUUAUUCUUCACAGUCGUCGAGUCAAAUGCGAAGACCCUUCAUUUUUCAUUACACGCGGGCGUCGAUGUAGCGCACCACUAAGGAUGCGAUGUGACGACCUGAUCCUUGCUCACUUGUCACCGUAUCCAGAUCAAGAUACUACGCGCCACCUGGUGGGUGACGGCCCGGCCCUUGCCCAUUUGACACAACACCAGGGUUCUGAUAUGGCGCAUCGCUGAGAGGGUUACGCCCCAAAGAUUUUAUUCUAGGUUCAUCUCCAUUAAGAGUGGCUGAGUUCUUGAUGUUGGCUCGCCAAGCCUAUCACAACUCUCGUUUACUCGGGCUUGGGACCGGCUAUGUUGAGACAACAUAGGCAGAGUUGUCUUGUAGGGUACACACAAAGAGUAUAAUUUUGAUUACAUGAUCUGACAAUUUCCCUCGUUUCAGACACAUGAUUCUAGUGCAUCAUCAAUUAAUGCUUGCUUUCAUGGUCUGCUUAUUGGUGCCCAAGAUGAUCUGCCUAUGGAUGCCCAAGUUACAAGUAUGAUAAUCUUCUGAUCCAUGUCCAAGCAAAUAAGAGUCACUCCACAUAUUGACCAUGUUGCUGCUUUGUCUAGAGGCCUGACACUACAUAAUUACUAACCUCCCUUGACAAUUGACUCAUUCCAUACCAUACUAUGUGCAUUAUGUUAUUAUGGAGGUAAUUAUACAAUGAUAACUUUACUACCAUGUCAUGCUUUCUCCACAAUUUUAGAAAGUAAAAUCUGUCUCUAGCAUGCAUGUGAUUCUUGCAUUGAUAUUUAUUUAUUUGGAUAACCUAAUUAACUUCUUCCACACUCGUGAAAAUUAGAUAAGUUCUUUUUCAUGUGUGACUUAUUGACUGUGUUGUUGCUCUAAAUCAGGUUAGUGCCAAAAUGUAUGAAAUCAACAUUUUGAUGUGGGAGUUUAGUGCUCGUCAUGUGGCUAAUCAGGCAAAGACCUCAGAGGAGCGAGGAAUGUUAGAAACCCCAAUUUGUGCUCCGCAAAUAGUCCCGCGUAUUCGUGGCCUUUAUGGGAUGGACAUUCUUACAAAGUGAACGAUCGGAUGAGUCCAUAUUUGGAUUAUGGGGCACGUCCGCUGUUGGCAAGACACGGCUUCUUUCGCUUAUCGCUGAUAGCUAUGCUGAUUCAUUUCAUCACGUCAUAUUUCUUGAUGGUGGCAGUUGCCUGAGAGUCAUGCAAAAUCAUUUCGCAUAUUUUUUGAAAUUGGAUUGGGAGACAAUCUCAUUGUUAGAGGAGCAUUACCGAGCUAAAAUCAUUAUGGAGUACCUAAGAGCAUGUCAGUUUUUUGGUUCUGUUAGACGAUGUGCAAGAUGAAGUCUACCCAGAUUUAACAGCUCUUGGUUUGCCGAUGGCUGUUGGGCAUCGGCAAAAAGUUGUUCUUACGGCGAGGAGUCAGGUAGUAUGUGCUCGCAUGGAAUGCACCAUAUCAAACACUCUGGAGAUGAAGUGUCUUGGGGAUGAAGAUGCUUGGAGUCUUUUCGAGUAUAAUGCGGGAGUAAAAAUCACAGAAGCUAAUACUGAAAUUUAUGAAUAUGCAAAACAAGUAUUAUAUAUUUCUACAUAAUAACUUUUCAGAUAUACGUUUAACCUACAAAUAAAAACUGUGCACUAUAAUUUAUAGUUUAUAUUGGUUAUUAGAUGGUUUCAGCAUGUGGAGGGUUGCCUAGAGCCAUAUGUGCUAUUGGCCUGGGCAUUCGGUUACACCGAACCGAUCGGUUCGGUGCCUCGGUCUAUUUUUAAUUUCGGUUUCCAAAUUUUAUGGACCGAUCGGUCUUUUGAGAAUUCACUAACCGAGGCUUUCGGUCCAGCGAGAAUUCGGCUCGGUCCUCGGUUAUAACCGAAGGGGACUUGUUUUCUACGGAAACACUAACGCCCACAUGUGUGGGCGUUCUCCAACUCGCCCACACAUCUAGAUGGUCGUUGAUUGUCUUUUGCACGAAUCUUGACACGAAAAGGUGGAUUUGAUGUGCCACAUAGGACGGGGCUAGUGUGUGGGCGUUGGAGAGUUUGCCCACACGCCCCGCAUCACGCUGUUGCCAGCUGCGAUGUGUGGGUGAACUAGUUUCUGCCCACACAGCCACCACCUAGUCCAUGCGCGUGUGGGCGAACUGAUUUUCACCCACACAACAAUCCUACAUUAUGGAUGGCAACUGCAGUUACGUGAACAUGGCAACUAGGUAAACAAACAUGGUAACUGUGAUUCUUUUGCUAGACGGCAACUGCAGUUGCGCGUGUGUGGCAAACAGAUAAACACACAUGGCAACUGCGAUUAACUGUGCAUGGCAACUAUGGUUGGACCACACGUGGCAACUAGGUAAACACACAUGGCAACUACUGUUUGAGCAUGUGUGGCAAGUAGUUAAUCACACACGGCAACUACGAUUUUAAUUACACGCGGCAACUACCAUAAAUUAGACAUGGCAACUAUAAUUGAUCAAAACAAAUAGAGUUGCCAUGCUUUUACAACUACACUUGCCAUCCCGGAUAACUACAUCUGCCAACCAGGAUGGCAACUAAAUCGUCAUCCCGCGGGUACCUAACGUUGCUGCGCUAGGACGUGUGGGCAUUUUUGCUUCGUGCCACACGCGUGGGGUGGAGAUGAGUAGUACUUGUUGGGCGUGUGGCACGAAGUAGCCGCGCCCACACGUGUGUGCAAUUCUAAUGUCCGCCCACACACAACCCGUGUGGGCUGCCUCCUGCUCACACCACACAUGGUGUGUGGCCAGACCCUUUAACGCCCACACGUGUGGGCGUUAUCGACGUCCUUUUUCUAACUUGAAGAGAGAACAUACUGGAUUGGAAGGAAUAAAUCGGAAGGCAAAUUCUAAGCGAGAAACAAGUUCGGAAAAGGAAUCGAUCCAAACAUGCAUUGCGCUGCCUAAUAUGGCUCAAUCAGGCCGCUCGUGGCAACCUUUGCAUAGCAUACAUGAAUGGUACAAGGAAAGACAUACAAUAGGAUACUAGAUAGGGAUCGCGCCGUGGCGCGAGGGUGCUGGUCAAAAUGUUUGUAUGCACAUAAUAAGAAGCUACUUAACAAUGCAUGAACAUAGAAAGCAUUUUUCACGAUAGGUUAGCACCAAAUAUCUUAGGCAUAGAAGAUACGACAACACGUCGCUUAAAGACAAUUUACAACUAUGCAUAGAUAACUUUAAGUUUUAGGCAUAACGUAGACGUUUAGGCAUAGAAGAUACGACAACACGUCGCUUACAGACAUUUUAGGCAUAGAAGAUACGGUAACACGUCUCUUACAGACAAUUUACAACAUGGGUCUUGCCGUCCUCAUGAACAACGCGUUCAUACUGAGCCGGUGAUAGUCCAAGGUGUGCCAGGAGCAUGCCAAGAAUUGCCGUGUGUGGGAUCCUAAGCACUCGCUUGGUGUCCUGCAGUUCCCAAUAAUAUAAAACAUAAGGCCUUGGGGAAUUGCCCAAAACAAUUGCGGAUAAAAGCAACCAUAGUGAUAAAAAAGAUAUGCCAAGCCUAUCCUUUAAUCAGGAUUUUGUUUAGGAUGUGCCAAGCAUUUAAAAAAACAGACUAUGAAUCAGGAUUUUGUUGCAAACAUACUGAAUGAUGGAAUGAGAAGAGGAAUAUAUUCAUGAAAUAAAGCAAGAGAGAUAAAGUUGAAAGGAAAGAAGUGCAGAGCUUGCAGGUGAAAAACAUCAUAUAAAAUGUAUAAUCACCAAUCAGGCAAUUUCAAGAUAUCAUGACUUAUUGCUGUGAUUAAAACAAAGCUUGUUGAUGAAUGAUUGGAAUCAGCUAUUCACUGAAUAAAUAUAUUCAUGGCGUAGUUUCAGUUUUGUGCCAUGAAGAGAGGCCGUCGAGUGUGAUAUCUAGAACAGAGAUGACCAUAUAUAUCAAGAAUGGUGAGGUAUGAAGAAAACAAACUCUCUAAGGAACACAUGCAGGUAGGUAUUUUUUUCUUGGAUUCUAUUGCUUCUACCUGAAUCUCAAGGUAUACAGUGACAUCCACGAUUAGCGGAAUUAAGCAACAACGACAUGCUCUCUGAUUUCAAUGUAACAUGUUUCAAUUCCUCUAUAACCCCUGUGUUUUAUCAAAACAAGCGCACAAACAAGAUAAUCAUCGAAACAAUAUUAUGUUCUCAACAAGGCUAUGUGCAUUCUUCUCAAGUCUGAGAUAUGCACGUACUGUGGUCUUAGAUCAAUUGAUAAUCACCAGAACUAACUACAGUACAUAGUUUGUGAAUCAAAAGUGAGAAAAUACCAGGAAGAUGAUUUGUGUAGUUGCAAGAGCUCAGGGGAAAGGAGAGUAGGCGGACCUGCUUGCUGGAGCUCCUUGACUGGCCAGUUGAACGUGCAGCCACAGUCGAGAGAGUGCUACUACCUUACAUGAGAGCAUGUUAAAUGGAAAAAACUCAAAUCCCUAACAAGAACAUUUUUUGAAAGAUCCAUAAAAUCCAGAUCGGGAUAGCGGGACUAACACGAACUCAUCCUUCACGCGAGCACCGCCACUCGAUGGAGAUGGUCGGUACCCCACGCCACUCCACGCAUCAUCAUAUUCCUCCUUCACGCGAGCACCGCUGCUCGGCAGCCUCCACAUCUGCCGGCUCGGCUCCCUCGGCGGCCGCUGUGCCCCACGCCGACAUAAGCGCCCAUCCAAAGGGAAAUAAAGAAGUAGACAACAAAACAAAGAGCGAUGUUAAUAUAACCACAUCAUUCAAUUCACGUGUCAAGAUACAAUAGGAAGUCUUUCCACCAAGCGGCUUGAUACAUACAAUUAAACUCAGGAAAAUAAUUUUCACCACUCAUAGAUAAUAAGCAGCUGUAAGGGGGCACACAGACAACCGCAUACCAGUAUACAUGCAAAUAACUUCAAAUAAACGUAUGCCACAGGAAAAGUAAACUCCAACAUAUUACCAAAGAGACAAUAAAAGCUCUGAGCCGAAAAAUCUAAGAAAUGCUCAAAUCAGUUUACUUAAUAGUUACGAAAUUAAUUAUUCUCGGUCAGGUGGUUCUGGUAUACUUAAGAAAACACUUGUAGACUUCAAGUACAGAUAAAUACUCAAGCUACAUGGAACUAUAGUCAACAACAUAGUUCUAUAAUAACAAGUGAUUCCAAUUAAACACAAGUGCUCAGAACCAUGGAACUGGAGCUUUAUAAAAUCAUGCUACUAAUUAUCUUAGAGACCAAUUAAACUCAUAUGCGGACCAUGGUCAACUGUGGGUUUAUACACUCGUCAGAAAUAUUGGCCACGAAAAACAUAACAGCAUUAAUACAGUCAACACAUACCUCAAGUACUGAAGGACUGAGGCACUGAUCAUCUGUUUGACUCAUUUUCACUUCUGCAUACGCUACUUUUAUAAAGUGAUCGAGCAGGGGUGCAGCAUCGUCGAGCAGGGGCGGCGGCGACAGCCAGACCACCUUGAGCACCACGGUCCGGAAGCCAAGAGGAUGAGCAGACGAAAAUCAGAAUGGAUUAACCAGGAAACCCUAGACAAAUCCCAAAAAAACAACAAAUCCCUUGAUGAGCACAUACACAUCACAAAGGGAAAGACAAACAAGGGAGCAAAUAAUCACCUCAGCCAUCUUAGAAGCCCACUCGGUGUGCUCCCUCUCUGGCCGACCCGCAAGACAGCCCCAACGCCACGCCACCGUCCCAACCGUGAAACAGCCAGAGAAGCAAGGAAGAUGGUAAGAAACAAGCGAAAUAAAAGGUAGUGGGAUCCAAUACAAACAUUAACCAUCCUAAAGACGUUGUUAUUAGAAACAUGACACUGUGGUUUCUGAUGGUUUAUCAUCAAAUUAAAACAAGACAUUGAACCGACGACUUGCUUACUCUUAACCAGAUGAAAUCAAGGACCAACAACAAACAAUAAAAGUCAAGAACAACUUAUAUGCAAUAAAGGUAUGAGAGGGAAGAAAUAUUCACAUAAGACGGCUAUAAACACUGGAGCAUAAAUAAGCAACACCUUUAAAUACAAAUAAAAGGGUUCCGGGUUCAAUGCAUAGUGGGCUCAGAUUUGCCUUUCCUCGAUCAUAUAAUCUACCCCCGCCAUCUCUUGUCACCAGAUUAAUUUGUUUAUACAGUGGAGCUGCCCUUGUUAUCACUCAACAAGAAUGACCAUCCAAGGACAGAACAAUAAGUAUCACAUGAUCAAAAAGUAUUCUAGAGACAAGAGGGAGGACCCAACUUGAUACCCACAGGUGCCUUGAUUGCUCAAAGGAACACUUAUUUCAGCCACAGCGAAUCAUCAUCGCCCUAGCAAGGAUGGCUUCCAACUGGUGGCGCACGUGCGAAUAAAAAGGGUUCAGGGUUCAAUGCAUAUGGGCUCAGAUUUUCCUUUCCUCGAUCAUAUAAUCUACCCCCAUCAUCUCUUAUCACCAGAUCAAUCUGUUUAUACAGUGGAGCUGCCCUGAUUAUCACUCAAUAAGAAUGACCAUCCAAAGGACAGAACAAUAAGUAUCAGAGGAUCAAAAAGGAUUCUGGAGACAAGAGGGAGGACCGAACUUGAUACCCACGGCUAAUCAUCAUCGCCCUAGCAAGAAUGGCUUCCGACCGAUGGGGCACGUGAUUCAAACGCGGUGGCACGAGAUAUCUCAUUUUGGGAGUAACUAUACAUUCCCGCGGUAACUUUUUUUAUCCGAUGGACGAGGUCGUUACAGGGAUCGAUCCGACGGCCCAAGAUCCAUCAAGCAACCAGAUCCGACGGCCAGGAAUCCCAAAUCGCUGAGGAGCAGCCUGAGGAGCUUCUAUUCUUAUUUCUGGAUGGACUUAUUUCUGGAUUUCUGGAUGGAUCACCGGAUCGAUAUGUUCUUACGAGGGUUUAACUGCCAUGCUUAUCACUCAUUAGAAAUGACCAUCCAAGGUCAGAGCCACUAAAAUAAGAACGUGAUCAAAACAGCUCAAAGAAACAAGGGAGGAUCCAAAUUAAUACCCACAAGUGCCUCGACUACUUGAGAGCAUGCCUAUCUCAGCCAUAACUGAUCAUCAUAGCCCUGGCCAUGUCCCAUAUAGUCGUCGAAGCAAAGCAGGGGAAGAUGGAGCUCACAGAGGGAGGUUGUAGCCGAGGCAGUACUCAGAGGGCACCAGGGUUGCGCCUAAACGCCAUCCAACUAGUGAGGAACCACGUCGGAGUUGCGCCUUGCACCAUCCCGCCGACGAGCACGAAAGCCAUGGGCACCGAAGUGGCCAAGGAGGCGAGGAGGUGAUGUAUAGCACAUCUAGGAGCACCAUCAGAGACGACCGGGGCAACGAGCAGGCAGGGAGAGAGGCGAGGCGGCAGGGAGAGGAAAGGGCACGAUGUGAGUGCAGGCCUGCAGGGAGCGGAACAUUAGCUAUUUUUUCUUUCGCAGUAUAUAGGAAGUAUCAAACAUAUCAUAUAAGUGCAAUCAUCUUUGAUAAUAUAAGAGAGCAUAAAAAUCACAGAGCUUGUUUAAGAUAUUUUGUCACAUCAAGUAGUUUAGAUAAGAAAAGCCUAACCCAGAGUUACAAAUAAUUGGAGCGAGUGAUAGAUUUAUUAUUCUGAUAAUUUGGUAGUGACUAUACAUAAAUAAUUCAUUCGCCAACAGUAAAAAAUAUGCGAUGCAUUAUUUACACAAAACAAUAUUUUUUUGUAUAGGGUCAGAAAGAUAUUUCAGCAUUCAAAUCAAUAAGGCUGAAAUAAUCUAAGAGUAUUAUCACUAUAGAGCAACAAUUUAUGAACUCGCUGUCAGUCAAAAGUAUUAUCACUACAGAGGAACAAUGAUUUACAGAGAAGGGGAUGAGUAAGGUUUGUUUGCUCAGGACUGUGCAUCAACUAAUCACCUAAAGUAAUUUCAAUAAAUAAAAAUUUACAUAUCGACCAAGAUAAACGUCAUGGUUAAAAAAUACGUUGAUAAUAUAUACAUCAAUGACAUCUCAAAGCUCAUUUCACAACAAGACUAUUGUAAACUUGAUAUAAAUAUAUAAUGGCCCCAUAAAGAUCCCCAUCUGUAGAAACCAAGUGAAAAAUCGUUUGGAAUAUGGUGUUUAGAUAUCACUGCCCAUAAAUAUAUAAUGUCGCAUGAAAAAUGGUGUUUGUUCUAAAUGGUCACUGAAAAUACUUGUUCUUGCGCUGCAAACAUACACAGAUAAAGGGCAAGCCAACAACCGUAGGUAUUCAGUAGGCCUAUACACAUACACCUAUUUUCCUCUAUUCUAGAAUCAAGAUGCACUUUCAUGUAUUGUUAGAUUAUUUCUCAUCGUAAAGAGGAUCGAGCCAAAGCUUGAUUAUAAGUAUGUAAGCAAACAAUAUGGACAGAAGGAACAAACAUUGGGUGUCAAAUGCAAACAGUAAGCUUCAGAGAAUUUACAUCUCCUAAAAUCAUUCAAGGGAUAGUAGCCUUUUGACUACAUGGUAGGUUGGUAGGUAGAAAUACGUUCAUAUACAUUGACAUCAACAUUUUUAACCUGGGAAUAGAUAAAAAAACGGCAAAGACGCAUCUCAUAUAAUCAAAGUAAACAUGGUAGAUCCAAAGCAAUGUAUCUAAGACUUAAAUUAAGGGGAAAAUGCAAACUAAUUAAAGAUUGAAGCCAUCAAUUUCACCCCCACAAUUUGCAAAUUGUAAUGUUCUCAGAUGAACUAACUGAAUAUAUUUACAUAAGGCAAGAGAAAUCAUCAUCACUGAUAUUCCCUACAGACCUAGGUCUCUGCCAAGAAUCACACAAGUUCCUUGAUGCUCCAAAAACCAAGCGAUGUUCGAGCAAGGGAAACACGAAAAGGCGCGAGGAGAGCUCCGUCGGGAGGGAGAGGGGUAGGGUUCGUACCUUGACUACAUGAGUUCACUGUAACUUCACCUCCGGAUCCAGGCGAGGUACUCUGUAAUUUAGAAACAGAGAUUCACUACGGUGGGUCAACUACGGCACAAUCGCUGGUGAGAACAUCAGAAGAACUUAUUUUCAAACUGAAUUAAGGAAAAACAAUUGUUGCAAGUAAAUUUACCCUCUAAUUACUGAUAAAGCGCAACAACAUUCAGCUAAUGAGACAUGAGAAGGAACUUUUCAUACUGUAAUAAGGAAAACUGGGCAACAUCAAAUAUCAUCUCAUUGAUUCUGCUAUAUAACAUAUAUUCACAUAAACCAUAAGAUAUGAUUGGAACUGCAAUCUCUAAACCAAAACGGCAACAAUAGAAUCAAAGUCCACUGUAUUACUAUCUAGAAAUUGAAGAGGACUACAGAAGUAUUUUUAGUGUACAUCAAGCUUACCAGGAAAAAAAAGCAUAGCUCUUGAACUGCACAUACAUGCUUCACUAACAAAUCUUGGCCUAGCCAAAACAAAUUCACCACACCUGUACAUGAACAUUCAGGGAAAGAAAUGAAACACCACACGUGAAAAUGCAUCCUGAUAACUAAUUAACUACUCAGCAAAUCAAAUGGUAUGUUUGAAUGCCUCUUUGAUCCUAUGAAACUGUAUACAAAAGAUAAGUAAUUAUCUACUCGCCAAAUCCAGUAGUAUAUUUGAGUGACUCUUCUUAUCCUUUCUCUGAAACUAAUACAAAAGAGAGCUAAUUAGCCACCCGCAAAUCGAGUGUGAUAUUUGAACGCCUCUUCUGAUCAUUUCUCUUAAACAGUUUAGUUUACACCAACUUUAGUACUGAGCAGAAUAUGUAUGUAAAUAAACCAGAGGAGACUGGAAUUUACAUUCCUAAUUAACAAAAUCAGCUAUGUUACUAAAGGGCAGUGGCAAAGGAUAACCAUAUGCAGUUAAGCCUUGCUUAUCACCCAAUUUCAGAACCAGUCAGCCUUCUAUAAGUAUUAUCAUGCGUGCAAUCUGACACGAAGGCCAAAACAACACUAUCCAUCUUCACAAAAAUCCAUUAUACGCUUCGGUACAUCUGAGAGUUAAGGAUCUUCAUUUUUAUUUAGAUGAAAUUACUUGGUAGCUAACAAACAUACCUCGAGGGAUGUGCACACAUGAGAGAUCGCCGGUGCCCUUUCUAGCUUCGGCGGCAGACAUCCUCCCUUUGCUCUCCUUCCAAUAGAUAUUAGAGUACAUUAAACCAAAAACCAAAAGGGAACAAGGGAGUGGAAGACCAGGAAUUAAUCGGACCACAAGAAAUCUAAGGGAAAAAACUAAAAGAAGGCCAAACAAUACUUGUGCAGGACCAAAUGACGCAUCACAUAGCAAUGAAACUGGAGGUUAGAAAACUACUCAGACUUUCAUGCCAUCAUGGAUUCAAUCUGAUCUAAAUGUAACCAAAUAAUGCAUCGGAACCAUAUUGACUACUAAAAGGGCAAGCACAAGCUUGCCAAAUUUACCACAAAUGUAGCAUUGCAAUCAAAUGGGUCCAAUCUUGAUGAAAGCAAAAAUGUAUCAUAUAGCACGCACGCACACGAACAGUCACAUUAUCCUCAUCUUGCUGAAAGCAAAAAAUGUAUCAUGUACUGUAAAUUCAUACCUUGACCUGCAAAGGGUAUGGUCCAGUUUCAAUCAUGUUGGCCUUUAGAUAAGUUUUUGAACAACAAUUUCACCACCUGAACAAAAAGCAGAGGAAAGCUAGUAAAUACUUCCAACAUGUUCACCUCAGUAUAGUGGUCCUACUUAUCCAACGACCCAUAUAUCUCAAAUAGAACAGCUUAAUAUCUCAAACAACAGUGAACGUCCAGCAUGUUCUCCAAAGUUACAUAAUAUAACAUGUUCAAAGGCUGUCAAGAUCAAAAAAUAGCGAGGGGAUUUUGUAGUCACAUGGCAAAGGUAAUAAAAUUUCUUCUAAUUUAAAUCUCAGACAUCUCAAUGAAAUAAAUAAUUUGAUACAUAAUUGAAACUGAACCCUAAUCUUUUGUUGUUGAGUUGUCUUUUCGUGACUAUCAACACUUUCAGUUUUAGCGUAUGAGAUGUGUCUCUGCGUCCUCCUCCUCCCCAAGAAGUUAGGUAUUAAUUUUGAAAAUUGACAUUUGAGUGGUUUGGCGACAUGGCAUAGUAUCGGGAGGUUUCUGUGAGGAGCGAGGUGAGACGGCCACUGCCGCUGAAGGAGUGGGGAUGAUGCCAGAAUUUGACAAAAUACCAAAUUUGCAAUUCACAUGUAUCGAUUAUCAUCAGACUGUGAGACAGAGGACACCGCAUAACCAAGCUACGGCAAACAUGUAGAAGGGGAACCAUAAGUGAAAAACGAUGAAAGGAAAAAACGUAAUGGUAAAAGGCAUAUAGUAUCUUCAUAUAUGAAAAAUUAUGAAAGGAAAAAAAUGUAAUGGUAUUCUAUGGGGAUGUGUUGUAGCUUGCACCUUGAGAUAAAACUGUUUCUGUCAGCAGCAUGACUGCAUCUUGCAAGAACAUGUAGUCUCUCUUCUCUGUUUUGUCUUCUAUGUUAUGUGAACACAUAAACAGAACAAAUAUUAGACGAAAUAUGAAUUGUCUGGUUGCCUAAGAAAGUGCAUCAGAUUAAACUGUAGUAUAAUAAAUGUUCGCUUAAUGCAUUCAUCAACGGCUAGGGAGACCAAAUCAUAAUAAUCUAGGCAUACCACACCAAACAACAGAGGCCAAUGAACAUGCCAUUCUUCCUAUUCUCUUUCAGAAGCAUCAAUCCAACAGAAAACAAACCGAACCCUUUGUUUUUUCACAUGUCACUCGACAAAGAACAUCAUUUUCGAGCAAGCAAACAUGAAGGUGCCAAGUAAAAACACAAGACUAAACAGACACGAGCCAAGUGGACCAAUCCAAAUGCACCAGGCCAAUCCAAAAGGCACAUGUCCUGCUCCAUUCACCUCUUCCUGAAAGCUCACUACAAUCCUAGAGAAAGAUCCCAAUGAAGGAAAAGGUUUUCGGCCAGUUCAAGGGAUUGACUACGAUGAGACCUUCUCACCCGUAGCGAUGCUUAAGUCCGUCCGAAUCAUGUUAGCAAUUGCCGCAUUUUAUGAUUAUGAAAUUUGGCAGAUGGAUGUCAAAACUGCAUUCCUGAAUGGAUUUCUGAAAGAAGAGUUGUAUAUGAUGCAACCGGAAGGUUUUGUCGAUCCAAAAGGAGCUAACAAAGUGUGCAAGCUCCAGCGAUCCAUUUAUGGACUGGUGCAAGCCUCUCGGAGUUGGAAUAAACGUUUUGAUAGUGUGAUCAAAGCAUUUGGUUUUAUACAGACUUUCGGAGAAGCCUGUAUUUACAAGAAAGUGAGUGGGAGCUCUGUAGCAUUUCUGAUAUUAUAUGUGGAUGACAUAUUGCUGAUUGGAAAUGAUAUAGAAUUUCUGGAUAGCAUAAAGGGAUACUUGAAUAAAAGUUUUUCAAUGAAAGACCUCGGUGAAGCUGCUUACAUAUUAGGCAUUAAGAUCUAUAGAGAUAGAUCAAGACGCUUAAUUGGACUUUCACAAAGCACAUACCUUGACAAGAUUUUGAAGAAAUUCAAAAUGGAUCAAGCAAAGAAAGGAUUCUUGCCUGUAUUACAAGGUGUGAAGUUGAGUAAGACUCAAUGCCCGACCACUGCAGAAGAUAGAGAGAAUAUGAAAGAUGUUCCCUAUGCAUCAGCCAUAGGCUCUAUCAUGUAUGCAAUGCUGUGUACCAGACCUGAUGUGUGCCUUGCUAUAAGUUUAGCAGGGAGGUACCAAAGUAAUCCAGGAGUGGAUCACUGGACAGCGGUCAAGAACAUCCUGAAAUACCUGAAAAGGACUAAGGAUAUGUUUCUCGUAUAUGGAGGUGACAAAGAGCUCACCGUAAAAGGUUACGUUGAUGCAAGCUUUGACACUGAUCCGGACGAUUCUAAAUCGCAAACCGGAUACGUGUUUACAUUAAACGGUGGAGCUGUCAGUUGGUGCAGUUCUAAACAAAGCGUCAUAGCGGGAUCUACAUGUGAAGCGGAGUACAUACCUGCUUCGGAAGCAGCGAACGAAGGAGUCUGGAUGAAGGAGUUCAUAUCCGAUCUAGGUGUCAUACCUAAUGCAUCGGGUCCAAUGAAAAUCUUUUGUGACAAUACUGGUGCAAUUGCCUUGGCAAAGGAAUCCAGAUUUCACAAAAGGACCAAACACAUCAAGAGACGCUUCAACUCCAUCCGGGAUCUAGUCCAAGUGGGAGACAUAGAGAUUUGCAAGAUACAUACGGAUCAGAAUGUUGCAGACCCGUUGACUAAGCCUCUUCCACGAGCAAAACAUGAUCAGCACCAAAGUUCCAUGGGUGUUAGAAUCAUUACAGUGUAAUCUAGAUUAUUGACUCUAGUGCAAGUGGGAGACUGAAGGAAAUAUGCCCUAGAGGCAAUAAUAAAGUUAUUAUUUAUUUCCUUAUAAUCAUGAUAAAUGUUUAUUAUUCAUGCUAGAAUUGUAUUAACGAGAAACAUAAUACAUGUGUGAAUACAUAGACAAAGAAAGUGUCACUAGUAUGCCUCUACUUGACUAGCUCGUUAAUCAAAGAUGGUUAUGUUUCCUGACCAUAAACAAUGAGUUGUUAUUUGAGUAACGAGGUCACAUCAUUAGUUGAAUGAUCUGAUUGACAUGACCCAUUCCAUUAGCUUAGCACCUGAUCGUUUAGUAUGUUGCUAUUGCUUUCUUCAUGACUUAUACAUGUUCCUAUGACUAUGAGAUUAUGCAACUCCCGUUUGCCGGAGGAACACUUUGGGUGCUACCAAACGUCACAACGUACCUGGGUGAUUAUAAAGGAGCAUUACAGGUGUCUCCAAAGGUAGAUGUUGGGUUGGCGUAUUUCGAGAUUAGGAUUUGUCACUCCGAUUGUCGGAGAGGUAUCUCUGGGCCCUCUCGGUAAUGCACAUCACAUAAGCCUUGCAAGCACUGCAACUAAUAUGUUAGUUGUGAGAUGAUGUAUUACGGAACGAGUAAAGAGACUUGCCGGUAACGAGAUUGAACUAGGUAUUGGAUACUGACGAUCGAAUCUCGGGCAAGUAACAUACCGAUGACAAAGGGAACAACGUAUGUCGUUAUGCGGUCUGACCGAUAAAGAUCUUCGUAGAAUAUGUAGGAGCCAAUAUGGGCAUCCAGGUCCCGCUAUUGGUUAUUGACCAGAGACGUGUCUCGGUCAUGUCUACAUUUGUUCUCGAACCCGUAGGGUCCGCACGCUUAAGGUUACGAUGACAGUUACAUUAUGAUUUUAUGCAUUUUGAUGUACCGAAGGUUGUUCGGAGUCCCGGAUGUGAUCACGGACAUGACGAGGAGUCUCGAAAUGGUCGAGACGUAAAGAUUGAUAUAUUGGAAGCCUAUGUUUGGACGUCGGAAGUGUUCCGGGUGAAAUCGGGAUUUUACCGGGUUACCGGGAGGGUUACCGGAACCCCCCGGGAGCUAUAUGGGCCAUAGUGGGCCUUAGUGGAAAAGAUAAGGGGCUGCCCUGGAUGGGCUGCGCGCCUCCCCCCUCCCCUAGUCCUAUUAGGACUAGGAGAGGUGGCCGGCCCCCUCCUCCUCUUUUCCCCCUCCGGGGAAUCCUAAUAGGAAUAGGAUUGGAGGGGAGUCCUACUCCCGGUAGGAGUAGGACUCCUCCUGCGCCUCCCUCCUUGGCCGGCGCCUCCUCCCCCCCUUGGCUCCUUUAUAUACUGAGGUAGAGGCACCCCAAAAGACACAAGUUGAUCCACGUGAUCUAUUCCUUAGCCGUGUGCGGUGCCCCCUGCCACCAUAUACCUCGAUAAUACUGUAGCGGAGUUUAGGCGAAGCCCUGCUGCUGUAGUUCAUCAAGAUCGUCACCACGCCAUCGUGCUGACGAAACUCUUCCCCGACACUUUGCUGGAUCGGAGUCCGGGGAUCGUCAUCGAGCUGAACGUGUGCUCGAACUCGGAGGUGCCGUAGUUUCGGUGCUUGAUCGGUUGGAUCGUGAAGACGUACGACUACUUCCUCUACGUCAUGUCAUCGCUUCCGCAGUCGGUCUGCGUUGGGUACGUAGACAACACUCUCCCCUCGUUGCUAUGCAUCACAUGAUCUUGCGUGUGCGUAGGAAAAUUUUUGAAAUUACUACGAAACCCAACAGUGGUAUCAGAGCCUAGGUUACUUAUGUUGAUGUUAUAUGCACGAGUAGAACACAAGUGAGUUGUGGACGAUACAAGUCAUACUGCCUACCAGCAUGUCAUACUUUGGUUCGGCGGUAUUGUUGGACGAGACGACCCGGACCAACCUUACGCGUACGCUUACGCGAGACCGGUUCCCUCGACGUGCUUUGCACAUAGAUGGCUUGCGGGCGACUGUCUCUCCAAUUUUAGUUGAACCGAGUAUGGCUACGCCCGGUCCUUGAGAAGGUUAAAACGGAGUCUAUUUGACAAACUAUCGUUGUGGUUUUGAUGCGUAGGUGAGACUGGUUCUUACUUAAGCCCGUAGCAGCCACGUAAAACAUGCAACAACAAAGUAGAGGACGUCUAACUUGUUUUUGCAGGGCAUGUUGUGAUGUGAUAUGGUCAAGGCAUGAUGCUGAAUUUUAUUGUAUGAGAUGAUCAUGUUUUGUAACCGAGUUAUCGGCAACUGGCAGGAGCCAUAUGGUUGUCGCUUUAUUGUAUGCAAUGCAAUCGCGAUGUAAUUACUAAACGGUAGUGAUAGUCGUGGAAGCAUAAGAUUGGCGAGACGACAACGAUGCUACGAUGGAGAUCAAGGUGUCGCGCCGGUGACGAUGGUGAUCAUGACGGUGCUUCGGAGAUGGAGAUCACAAGCACAAGAUGAUGAUGGCCAUAUCAUAUCACUUAUAUUGAUUGCAUGUGAUGUUUAUCCUUUUAUGCAUCUUAUCUUGCUUUGAUUGACGGUAGCAUUAUAAGAUGAUCUCUCACUAAAUUAUCAAGAAGUGUUCUCCCUGAGUAUGCACCGUUGCCAAAGUUCGUCGUGCCCAGACACCACGUGAUGAUCGGGUGUGAUAAGCUCUACGUCCAUCUACAACGGGUGCAAGCCAGUUUUGCACACGCAGAAUACUCGGGUUAAACUUGACGAGCCUAGCAUAUGCAGAUAUGGCCUCGGAACACGGAGACCGAAAGGUCGAGCGUGAAUCAUAUAGUAGAUAUGAUCAACAUAACGAUGUUCACCAUUGAAAACUACUCCAUCUCACGUGAUGAUCGGUCAUGGUUUAGUCGAUUUGGAUCACGUAAUCACUUAGAGGAUUAGAGGGACGUCUAUCUAAGUGGGAGUUCUUAAGUAAUAUGAUUAAUUGAACUUAAAUUUAUCAUGAACUUAGUACCUGAUAGUAUCUUGCUUGUUUAUGUUGAUUGUAGAUAGAUGGCUCGUGCUGUUGUUCCGUUGAAUUUUAAUGCGUUCCUUGAGAAAGCAAAGUUGAAAGAUGAUGGUAGCAGUUACACGAACUGGGUCCGUAACUUGAGGAUUAUCCUCAUUGCUGCACAGAAGAAUUACGUCCUGGAAGCACCGCUGGGUGCCAGGCCUGCUGCUGGAGCAACACCAGAUGUUAUGAACGUCUGGCAGAGCAAAGCUGAUGACUACUCGAUAGUUCAGUGUGCCAUGCUUUACGGCUUAGAAUCGGGACUUCAACAACGUUUUGAACGUCAUGGAGCAUAUGAGAUGUUCCAGGAGUUGAAGUUAACAUUUCAAGCAAAAUGCCCGAACUGAGAGAUAUGAAGUCUCCAAUAAGUUCUAUAGCUGCAAGAUGGAGGAGAACAGUUCUGUCAGUGAGGAUAUACUCAAAAUGUCUGGGUAUAAUAAUCACUUGAUUCAAUUGGGAGUUAAUCUUCCAGAUGAUUACGUCAUUGACAGAAUUCUCCAAUCACUGCCACCAAGCUAUAAGAGCUUCGUGAUGAACUAUAAUAUGCAAGGGAUGAACAAGACUAUUCCCGAGCUCUUCGCAAUGCUGAAAGCUGCGGAGGUAGAAAUCAAGAAGGAGCAUCAAGUGUUGAUGGUUAACAAGACCACUAGUUUCAAGAAAAAGGGCAAAGGAAAGAAGAAAGGGAACUUCAAGAAGAACGGCAAGCAAGUUGCUGCUCAAGAGAAGAAACCCAAGUCUGGACCUAAGCCUGAAACUGAGUGCUUCUACUGCAAGCAGACUGGUCACUGGAAGCGGAACUGCCCCAAGUAUUUGGCAGAUAAGAAGGAUGGCAAGGUGAACAAAGGUAUAUGUGAUAUACAUGUUAUUGAUGUGUACCUUACUAGAGCUCGCAGUAGCACCUGGGUAUUUGAUACUGGUUCUGUUGCUAAUAUUUGCAACUCGAAACAAGGACUACGAAAUAAGCGGGCACUGGCAAAGGACGAGGUGACGAUGCGUGUGGGAAAUGGUUCCAAAGUUGAUGUGAUUGCGGUCGGCACGCUACCUCUACAUCUACCUUCGGGAUUAAUAUUAGACCUAAAUAAUUGUUAUUUGGUGCCAGCGUUGAGCAUGAACAUUAUAUCUGGAUCUUGUUUAAUGCGAGAUGGUUAUUCAUUUAAAUCAGAGAAUAAUGGUUGUUCUAUUUAUAUGAGUAAUAUCUUUUAUGGUCAUGCACCCUUGAAGAGUGGUCUAUUCUUAUUGAAUCUCGAUAGUAGUAAUACACAUAUUCAUAAUGUUGAAGCCAAAAGAUGCAGAGUUGAUAAUGAAAGUGAAACUUAUUUGUGGCACUGUCGUUUAGGUCAUAUCGGUAUAAAGCGCAUGAAGAAACUCCAUACUGAUGGGCUUUUGGAACCACUUGAUUAUGAAUCACUUGGUACUUGCGAACCGUGCCUCAUGGGCAAGAUGACUAAAACACCGUUCUCCGGUACUAUGGAGAGAGCAACAGAUUUGUUGGAAAUCAUACAUACCGAUGUAUGUGGCCCGAUGAAUAUUGAGGCUCGUGGCGGAUAUCGUUAUUUUCUCACCUUCACAGAUGAUUUAAGCAGAUAUGGGUAUAUCUACUUAAUGAAACAUAAGUCUGAAACAUUUGAAAAGUUCAAAGAAUUUCAGAGUGAAGUUGAAAAUCAUCGUAACAAGAAAAUAAAGUUUCUACGAUCUGAUCGUGGAGGAGAAUAUUUGAGUUACGAGUUUGGUGUACAUUUGAAAAACUGUGGAAUAGUUACGCAACUCACGCCACCCGGAACACCACAGCGUAAUGGUGUGUCCGAACGUCGUAAUCGUACUUUACUAGAUAUGGUGCGAUCUAUGAUGUCUCUUACUGAUUUACCGCUAUCAUUUUGGGGAUAUGCUUUAGAGACGGCCGCAUUCACGUUAAAUAGGGCACCAUCAAAAUCCGUUGAGACGACGCCUUAUGAACUGUGGUUUGGCAAGAAACCAAAGUUGUCGUUUCUUAAAGUUUGGGGCUGCGAUGCUUAUGUGAAAAAGCUUCAACCUGAUAAGCUCAAACCCAAAUCGGAGAAAUGUGUCUUCAUAGGAUACCCAAAGGAGACUAUUGGGUACACCUUCUAUCACAAAUCCGAAGGCAAGGCAUUCGUUGCUAAGAAUGGAUCUUUUCUAGAGAAGGAGUUUCUCUCGAAAGAAGUGAGCGGGAGGAAAGUAGAACUUGACGAGGUAACUGUACCUGCUCCCUUACUGGAAAGUAGUUCAUCACAGAAAACUGUUUCAGUGACACCUACACCAGUUAGUGAGGAAGCCAAUGAUAAUGAUCAUGAAACUUCAGAUCAAGAUACUGCUGAACCUCAUAGAUCAACCAGAGUAAGAUCCGCACCAGAGUGGUACGGUAAUCCUAUUCUGGAAGUCAUGAUACUAGAUCAUGAUGAACCUACGAACUAUGAAGAAGCGAUGGUGAGCCCAGAUUCCGCAAAGUGGCUUGAAGCCAUGAAAUCUGAGAUGAGAUCCAUGUAUGAGAACAAAGUAUGGACUUUGGUUGACUUGCCCGAUGAUCGGCAAGCAAUUGAGAAUAAAUGGAUCUUUAAGAAGAAGACUGACGCUGAUGGUAAUGUUACUGUCUACAAAGCUCGACUUGUCGCAAAAGGUUUUCGGCAAGUUCAAGGGAUUGACUACGAUGAGACCUUCUCACCCGUAGCGAUGCUUAAGUCCGUCCGAAUCAUGUUAGCAAUUGCCGCAUUUUAUGAUUAUGAAAUUUGGCAGAUGGAUGUCAAAACUGCAUUCCUGAAUGGAUUUCUGGAAGAAGAGUUGUAUAUGAUGCAACCGGAAGGUUUUGUCGAUCCAAAAGGAGCUAACAAAGUGUGCAAGCUCCAGCGAUCCAUUUAUGGACUGGUGCAAGCCUCUCGGAGUUGGAAUAAACGUUUUGAUAGUGUGAUCAAAGCAUUUGGUUUUAUACAGACUUUCGGAGAAGCCUGUAUUUACAAGAAAGUGAGUGGGAGCUCUGUAGCAUUUCUGAUAUUAUAUGUGGAUGACAUAUUGCUGAUUGGAAAUGAUAUAGAAUUUCUGGAUAGCAUAAAGGGAUACUUGAAUAAAAGUUUUUCAAUGAAAGACCUCGGUGAAGCUGCUUACAUAUUAGGCAUUAAGAUCUAUAGAGAUAGAUCAAGACGCUUAAUUGGACUUUCACAAAGCACAUACCUUGACAAGAUUUUGAAGAAAUUCAAAAUGGAUCAAGCAAAGAAAGGAUUCUUGCCUGUAUUACAAGGUGUGAAGUUGAGUAAGACUCAAUGCCCGACCACUGCAGAAGAUAGAGAGAAUAUGAAAGAUGUUCCCUAUGCAUCAGCCAUAGGCUCUAUCAUGUAUGCAAUGCUGUGUACCAGACCUGAUGUGUGCCUUGCUAUAAGUUUAGCAGGGAGGUACCAAAGUAAUCCAGGAGUGGAUCACUGGACAGCGGUCAAGAACAUCCUGAAAUACCUGAAAAGGACUAAGGAUAUGUUUCUCGUAUAUGGAGGUGACAAAGAGCUCACCGUAAAAGGUUACGUUGAUGCAAGCUUUGACACUGAUCCGGAUGAUUCUAAAUCGCAAACCGGAUACGUGUUUACAUUAAACGGUGGAGCUGUCAGUUGGUGCAGUUCUAAACAAAGCGUCGUAGCGGGAUCUACAUGUGAAGCGGAGUACAUACCUGCUUCGGAAGCAGCGAACGAAGGAGUCUGGAUGAAGGAGUUCAUAUCCGAUCUAGGUGUCAUACCUAAUGCAUCGAGUCCAAUGAAAAUCUUUUGUGACAAUACUGGUGCAAUUGCCUUGGCAAAGGAAUCUAGAUUUCACAAAAGGACCAAACACAUCAAGAGACGCUUCAACUCCAUCCGGGAUCUAGUCCAAGUGGGAGACAUAGAGAUUUGCAAGAUACAUACGGAUCUGAAUGUUGCAGACCCGUUGACUAAGCCUCUUCCACGAGCAAAACAUGAUCAGCACCAAAGUUCCAUGGGUGUUAGAAUCAUUACAGUGUAAUCUAGAUUAUUGACUCUAGUGCAAGUGGGAGACUGAAGGAAAUAUGCCCUAGAGGCAAUAAUAAAGUUAUUAUUUAUUUCCUUAUAAUCAUGAUAAAUGUUUAUUACUCAUGCUAGAAUUGUAUUAACCGAAAACAUAAUACAUGUGUGAAUACAUAGACAAAGAAAGUGUCACUAGUAUGCCUCUACUUGACUAGCUCAUUAAUCAAAGAUGGUUAUGUUUCCUGACCAUAAACAAUGAGUUGUUAUUUGAGUAACGAGGUCACAUCAUUAGUUGAAUGAUCUGAUUGACAUGACCCAUUCCAUUAGCUUAGCACCUGAUCGUUUAGUAUGUUGCUAUUGCUUUCUUCAUGACUUAUACAUGUUCCUAUGACUAUGAGAUUAUGCAACUCCCGUUUGCCGGAGGAACACUUUGGGUGCUACCAAACGUCACAACGUAACUGGGUGAUUAUAAAGGAGCAUUACAGGUGUCUCCAAAGGUAGAUCUUGGGUUGGCGUAUUUCGAGAUUAGGAUUUGUCACUCCGAUUGUCGGAGAGGUAUCUCUGGGCCCUCUCGGUAAUGCACAUCACAUAAGCCUUGCAAGCACUGCAACUAAUAUGUUAGUUGUGAGAUGAUGUAUUACGGAACGAUUAAAGAGACUUGCCGGUAACGAGAUUGAACUAGGUAUUGGAUACCGACGAUCGAAUCUCGGGCAAGUAACAUACCGAUGACAAAGGGAACAACGUAUGUCGUUAUGCGGUCUGACCGAUAAAGAUCUUCGUAGAAUAUGUAGGAGCCAAUAUGGGCAUCCAGGUCCCGCUAUUGGUUAUUGACCGGAGACGUGUCUCGGUCAUGUCUACAUUUGUUCUCGAACCCGUAGGUUACAUUAUGAGUUUAUGCAUUUUGAUGUACCGAAGGUUGUUCGGAGUCCCGGAUGUGAUCACAGACAUGACGAGGAGUCUCGAAAUGGUCGAGACGUAAAGAUUGAUAUAUUGGAAGCCUAUGUUUGGACAUCGGAAGUGUUCCGGGUGAAAUCGGGAUUUUACCGGGUUACCGGGAGGGUUACCGGAACCCCCCGGGAGCUAUAUGGGCCAUAGUGGGCCUUAGUGGAAAAGAGAAGGGGCUGCCCUGGAUGGGCUGCGCGCCUCCCCCCUCCCCUAGUCCUAUUAGGACUAGGAGAGGUGGCCGGCCCCCUCCUCCUCUUUUCCCCCUCCGGGGAAUCCUAAUAGGAAUAGGAUUGGAGGGGAGUCCUACUCCCGGUAGGAGUAGGACUCCUCCUGCGCCUCCCUCCUUGGCCGGCGCCUCCUCCCCCCCUUGGCUCCUUUAUAUACUGAGGUAGAGGCACCCCAAAAGACACAAGUUGAUCCACAUGAUCUAUUCCUUAGCCGUGUGCGGUGCCCCCUGCCACCAUAUACCUCGAUAAUACUGUAGCGGAGUUUAGGCGAAGCCCUGCUGCUGUAGUUCAUCAAGAUCGUCACCACGCCAUCGUGCUGACGGAACUCUUCCCCGACACUUUGCUGGAUCGGAGUCCGGGGAUCGUCAUCGAGCUGAACGUGUGCUCGAACUCGGAGGUGCCGUAGUUUCGGUGCUUGAUCGGUUGGAUCGUGAAGACGUACGACUACUUCCUCUACGUCGUGUCAUCACUUCCGCAGUCGGUCUGCGUUGGGUACGUAGACAACACUCUCCCCUCGUUGCUAUGCAUCACAUGAUCUUGCGUGUGCGUAGGAAUUUUUUUGAAAUUACUACGAAACCCAACACCCAACCCUAGCAAGAUCCACACAACUAAGAAAUUGGAGAACACACUAUAUAAAAUUGUCAAGAAUGAUAAUAAGCAUGGAGAACUAAAAUGUACUAUCACUUCCAUGUAGCUGAGAACCUAAAAUUGGCAAGAAUACAACAUACGCAGAUUUAACAAUUUUCCAAAACAAUACAAAUUCUAGUGUACGUGCAUUGAGCAGAAUAUGGCCAACAAGCCAAGCAAGGCAACAAACAUGUACUCUGUAAAUAAUUAGCUAGAUCCAAGGCCUUCGUUGGCAACAAGGUAAAAACAAAACAAGAAAGACAAAGAAAAAUCUCUUCUUUGGAACCUAGCUAAAUCAGAGAAUUGGCUAGAUAAGAUAGAUGUGCAGGGGUAGGAAGAGGGGGUGGAGCUCACCAUGUUCAGGGGGGUAGGAGGAGGGAGGAGCCAUGAGGGCUCGUGCCUCGUCCACCUGCAGCAAUUGCUACUCAUCCAGAUCGGAAUCGACCUUGUCCACCAGAGGAGCAGGGACGCGUCCAUGCACCUGCGUGACCAAAAGCAGCAACAACGUGAGGGGAGGGGAGGGGAUUAGGGUUGGAGCAGGGAGGAGGGCGGCAUCCCGAGCAGGCCAUUGCGUGGGCGCGGAGCAGGCAUAGCACAAGCACUCGGAGGCCAAGGUCGGACGACAUCGCCAGCGAAUCUGCGAGCACCUUGGCCGCCGCCUGACCUGCUCACUCUCCCUCUUCUCUUCCCUUCCCUUCACUUCUGAUGAUGAGAGGGCGAGACGGCGGGCGGCGUGGUGCGAGGGAGACGAGGAGAGAGGUCCAUGGCGGCGCGGUCCGAGCGGCAGCGGUGGCGGCGAGGUCUGCAGGGCGUUGGUGGCGGCGAAGUGAGCGGGGCGGCGAGGUCUGGUGGAGGGAGAGGGCUGGGGCGAGCGGGGCUGGGAUGCGGGAGGACGGGGUUAAGGGCGCGAGUGUGGGGGAGAGGCGGCUAGGUCAUCUACACGGGAGCGGGCCCUUUUAUACCCCGUGCGAGUGAAAUUAUGAAAAUGCCCCCGGCGAGGCAGGCUAUUUACGCGCGGUGGCACGAAACUGGAGUAACUAUUCAUUCCAGCAGUAACUUUUUUUAUCCUACGGAUGAGGUCGUUACAGGGGUUGAUCCGACGGCCCAGAUCCGAUCAAGCAACCAGAUCCGACAGGCAAGAAUCCCAAAUUGCUGUGGUGCGGGAUGAGGAGCUUCUAUUCUUAUUUCUGGAUGGACGCAAGCGGGCCGCCGACCAUGAAGGAGCACGGGCGCUACCGGCCGCCGUAGAGUGGGAGCCAUGGGCACUGCCGGCCGCCACCGCGGGAUAGCCACGGGCGCCGCCAGCCGCCGCUGGGAUUGCGAUAGGUAGAAAAGGAGGCGGCGGCGUUGUAUGCUGCGUGAGUGAUGUCGUGCGUGAAGGAAUUCACCAGCCACCAGGGAUAAGCUGCGAGGGCCGCGCGUGUUGGGCUAAGAAUUGGGCCGAUAAAAGGCUCAGGAUAACUUUCUGUACGUAUCACCUAGGAGGAGAAACUAAUUAACGAGCGCUCCUUCGGGAGACUCGCAAUGAUCAGCGUCACUUGGCGCGCUCUCAGCCAUUCGCCACGUGUCACGUUUUGGGCGCUCCCUUUGGAUUUUUUUUAUUUUUUCGCGCGCGUUUUUGGCUUCUAAACAGUUUUUUUGACGUUUUGGUUUUCCACCGGUUUUCCCUAGCUUUUCGACCAAAAAAAUCGAAUUGUUUUUCUGUGCAAACAAACUUUUUUUCUCGCGAGAGGCACGGUUGUGCUUUCGCGAGAGGCACGUCUGUGCCUCUUGGAAACGGAAAAAACGUGUUUUCUGUUUUUUUCCUUUCGCGAGAGGCACGGUUUUGCUUCCGCGAGAGGCACGGUUGUGCUUUCGCGAGAGUCACGGUCGUGCCUCUUGGAAAUUAAAAAACAAAUUUUUUGUUUUUUUUCUUUCAUGAGAGGCACGGUUUUGCUUCUGCGAGAGCCACGGUUGUGAUUUCGUUAGAGGCACGGGCGUGCCUCUUUCGGAAAGGGCAAAAACCCGUGCUCCCGGUUCGUUUUUUUCGUUCGGUUUUUUUCGUGAAAAAAAAGUUCGUCAAAACCUAUCAACAUGGGAUCUAGUUUUGAAGAUCUCGACACGAGGAAUCCAAGGGCGAAAGCGGUUCGAGAUUUGGAUGCACGGUUUAAGAGAUAAAACGUUUUGAAUAAACGAAUCUAUGAAAAAAGGGAAAACUCCCAGGUUACGACAAGUGGCGCACAUGCAGAGCCACUUGUCACAACCUGAGGAAGUUGAAAUGAUCUUGGCAAGGAGUACUCUUUAAUUAGUGAUUUCGGGAAAAAGGUGUUUUUUUAUCGUGGAUGGGCUAUUGAGUUGGUUAGUUCGGGGAAUUCGGUCACCUGAGUCCAACGACCGAACCCACCCAAGUAAUUUCGGUUUCUGGUAAUUGGUAACCAAACAAAUAACUGAAGUUUCGGUCCUCGGUUAUUUCGACUUCGGUCCUGGUUUUUUCGGCUCCGGUUUUCCGUUCUCAGUUUUUUCGCCCACCUAGGCGUAGCCGGAGCCAUUUGCAGGGGAAAACAUCCAGAUGAUUGGUGGUUUACCUACAAGCGUUUCAAGGGUAAAAAUCUGCCACUGGAACGAAUGGAAGAUAUAGUGCCUGUUCUGGUUUAGGUAAGUGAAAACUCUAAAGUAGUGUGUGAUAGCAGAUUGUACAUGCCUGAGUGCUCAAGAAAUACCCCUGGCAAAAGCAAAUGUAUACUCCCUCCAUGCCAUAUUAGUUAUCGCUCAAACAUAUGUAUCUACUUCUAGAUACAUCCGUCUGAGCGACAAUUAAUAUGAGAUGGAGGGAGUAUUUCUGAACGGAAAAUUACUUGGUAGUAGUUCUCGUUAUGAGGCUUGAAUAAAUUCAAGGCCUUGCACGGAUGCCUUCUUCAUGAUGGUGAAGGAAAUCAUUCCAGAGAUUGCUUAACAUCAAAGUUUAGGAAACCAUUCAGAUUUAUGUCUCUGAACAGUUCUUUGUAAGCAUUUUGCCAUUACCUGCUCAAAUCCCCAGGUUGGGCUCGAGACCAACCAGCCCCUGGGUAUCCUCAGUGUCCAAUGGACAUGCAUCCUCAGUGUCCAAUUGGGGAUUUCCUUUUUAGAGCUUCAGGAGUUGCAUUUGGUAUCAGCUUUUUUUUUGUUGAUAUAUUCUUCUUAGGACAAUUCAAGCCAUUAGAUGUAAAACACUGAGAGACCACAUAACUGAAUAAUCUGUGCUAGGUAUAGCUGUAACUUUAGCUGCACCAGUAUUGCUAGGAUAUGACUCUCUAAGUCUUGCAUCUGAGUCCAGCGGAUAGACUUUGAUGGAAGAUUUGCUCGCACAAGUUGUAGUAUUAGGCGGCACAUUUUAUAUGGCUGAGUGUAAAAUGGAGUAGAUAGCACAAGCCUUGGGAUUUGUGUGACAUCUGCACAGCAAUCAAAGAGGAAUCAAGUGCAUGUAAUUACUAUUUACUCCCUUUUUAAACUAAUAUAAGAUCUUUUAGAUCACUAAAAUAGUGAUCUUAAAAAGAUCUUAUAGUAUUAUCAGUUUACACUUGAUAGGCCUAGCCUCUGCUUUAGCUUUGCAGUUGAUUUCACUCUGGUAGUGUGCGUUUUCCUCGAUAUCUCUUUUAUGCCUACUCAUGUGAAGGACCGCUGCCCUGGUUUCAGGCAACUUGUGCGUGGCUCGUAGGAGCUGUGGAGACAUGGUUGGACUUCAUUACAUGUUGUUGCGACAAUCAAGAGUUGGAAGAGUCCAGAUGGCGGCAGUUUGAUGCUUACCUGUCAGUCUUCUGAUGCGUAAACACAGAGCAGAACACCUUGAUGCUCCAACGGAAUGCAAGAGAAGAACAGACUUGUUGUGGAUGCUAAAUUCUGUGCUUGUUUGUUUUGCUGUCUGUCUCAUUCUGUCAUUCGCCUUGGAGCUUUAGGCCAUAAGCACUCUGGGCGGUUGGCCUUUUCGAAAUUUUAUUAUAUAAUUGGGGCCGUCCGAUCUCUCUUUCCCCUAUCAACCGUCCGAGAAUCGCUGGCCGCUGCCUCGGUAGACUUAGGGCAUCUCCAGCCGCGCCCCCAAGAAGGCCUCCCCAGGCGAUUUUCUCGCGUCGGCGCCGGAAAAACGGCCCAGUCGCGCCCCCAGGACGCCGAAAAUCGCCGGCUUGGGCCGAAAACAGCGCUGGCGGACCCAGCCCGAACCCGGCGCGCUGGGGGGCGCCCGGGGGCGCCGGGGCGAGUUGUUUUGGCGCGAAGAAGCCGCGGGCCAGCCGCGUCAGCGACCCGGCGCCUCGUCUUCCCCCAACGGCCUCGGUUUCCGCGGGAAUCAAUGGCAAGGCUGCCGCCGGUCAGCCUUGCCAUUGAUUCCUUCACGGGCGGCGCGUCACGCGGCGGCGCCGACGCCUCCCCUCCCUCGCACGCGUACACACGGCGCGGCCCCGGCUAUAAAAGCCGGCGGCCUCCACUCCGCUUCCUGUGCACACCAGCCCCGCCCCCGCCCCUCGCCGCCGUCCAGCCCUCCCUCUCCCUGCCUCUCCCGUGCACCGUCGCCGACGCCAUGGCCGAACGCUUCCCAGGGGACGAGGCGGCGGCCAACGGCUUCGGCCGCCGUUCGCUUCGCCUCCAGGAGUCCUGGCUUCUGUUCCAGGCGAACAUCCCGGCGCCGCCGGACAUGCGCGCCGGGCCGUCGGGAUGGAGGCUCAGCACCGGGGGGGUGCCCAUUCCCCCUUUGCCCGACGUCGCGGCGAAGCCGGAGUACUUCGCCGACGAGGUUGACAUCGUCUGCGCGUCCCUCACCGACGCCGAACGCUCCCUCCCCCAGUACGCCGCCGACAACCACGCCGCCUGGGCGCCGUACUUCGAGCGCCGACAGCAGCAGCGUCUCGCGUCCACCAACGGCGCGCCUGUGGUCGCCGGGCGGCAGAACAGCGAGGGGCGCCACCUCUGGUGGGGCGUCCCCGGCCGCACACUCGAGGGCGUGCUCACGCACCUCGAGGGCGGCAACGUCCCGCCGUUGGCAUACCCCCCGGCGACGCACCGGCGCGCCGGGUCAUGGGCGCCUAGGCGGUUCGGGUCAGCCUCUUCCUCUUCCUCCUCCCGAUCCUCCUCACACUCCUCCGGAACUCCGGCCCUACUCGCCGUCAAGGCCGAGCCUGCGUCGGAGUCGCCGCUCGGUCGGCGCAAUCGCAGCGCCGGCAUCGCCAUCCACGAGGGCGGCCGGCGCGCUUCGUCCUCGGUUCCUCCGCGCUUCGUCAAGCCGAAGACGGAGCCGGGAAUGGCGCCGGUGAAGACGGAGCCGGGGCUGGUGCCGGUGAAGACGGAGCCAGGCCUGGCGCUGGCGACGGCGGAGCUCGUCGACGACAACGCGGCCCUGGAAUGGGCGCGCCAGGACUCCAUUGCGAUGGAGAAGGCGCGCCGAGAGAAGGCGAAGGAGCGCCAGCGCGCCGAACUGCGUCGCUUCGCGGAGCGACGACGCGGCCGCGACGAAGGCGGAGUCGUCGUCCUGUGCGACAGCGACGACGACGACGCGCCACCGCCAGUCCACCAUGGCGACGUCGGGUCCAGCCGGGGCGUCCGCGUCAAGGAGGAGAAGGCCGACGACGACGAUGGCAGCGACGGCGCCGACGACUUCAGCGCAUUUCUUUUUUAGAUUAGCUUAGCUUUUAAUAAUGUAAUGAAAAUGGGCGAAUUUGGCCGAAAUUCGCCAUGUUCGGACGAAAUUUAACUGUUCUUCGUCAUAUCUUCGCCGAACGGGCCCUCCCUAUUUUUUUUGCACUCGCCUGUAGGCGGCCCUGGGGGUCGACGGCUGGGCGACGACUCGCCCCCAGGGCCUUUUUUUUCGCCGGCUCACCCCCAGGCGGCGCUUUUAGACGCCCCCUGGGGGGCCAACGGCUGGAGAUGCCCUUACACCUUAAACGCCAGCGCCGUUGACUUGGCUCGAGGUGAAGCACAACGGCCACCCUUGCCGCUGUCUGACAUGCCAACAACGUUGCACAUCUCCGAGUCUGGCUGCUGCCACUUUGAACAUCUACAACUGGAUCCCGCAAACCAUCUCUCAUGACGCGAACCCUCAUAUCUAUAUCAAAUAUGGGGGGAUAUGAGGGCUCGCGGACAAGCCGGGGCGCGCCCGGUCAAUCCGCAACAUAAGACGUGGCCCCAUCUUGAACCAUCUUUUCUCUUUCUUUAAUCAUUCUUUUCUUUCUCCCUUUAUCUACCCCAAUCAUGUGACCGGACAUAUGAGGAAGAAAAUGAGGAUUGUACGUGUGUGGAUGAAUAAAUAGGGGAAAACAUUCAUAAUCAUUCGACUGAUCUUUCUCUCUCGUAAGCCUCCUCCUCCACGCGCCACGUACCCACGUCAAUGACCGAAUAGGAGAGAGAGGGAAAAAAGUAACCCAACUGGACCCCUCAUAUCUUUCCUAUAUGUCUGGUCUGUCCGCGAACCCGUGUAUCUAUCUCAAAUAUGGGGGGAUAUGAGGGCUCGCGGACAAGCCGGGACGCGCCCGAUCAAUCCGUCACAUAAGACGCGGCCUCACCCUCGACCACCUUUUCUCUUCCUUUAAUCAUUCUUUUCUUUCUCCAUCUUUAUCUACCUCAAUCAUGGGCAAGUGAUCGGACAGAUGAGGAAGAAAAUGAGGACUGCGCGGAUGAAUAAAUAGGGGGAGAACGUUCAUCAUCCGACUGAUCUUUCUCUCUCAUAAGCCUCCUUCUCCACGCGCCACGUACCCACGUCAGGCUGCCCACCGCUUCGCCCCAGCCUUAUCCUAUCUCUAACGAAGCUCCUCCACUCAUUUCUUCAUUUUUUUUCUCCCUCUUACAACUCAUCGCCAGAGGAGAUUAGCCAUGGUGAGCACCACCACCAGCAGCUAGAAAAUCAGAAGAGUUUGACGCCGGCCGUAGGCACUAGCGUCGGAGCUCCUCCCUUGCAUUGCUGCAGGCGGCAUAGCUGCAAAGCAGCGUCCAUGGAGCGAAGCCAUGGCGAGCACCACCACAGCAGCGGGGGAACUGGGAGGUGCUGCUGGCAAUCGAAACGGCGCUCGUCGACGAACGCCGGUGCUGCUUUCAUCCAUGGCCGCCGAGAUGGGACACAGCAACUUGUCCACGGCCGUUGCGCUACGUUGCGCUAGGUUGCAAUCUUGUCUGCAUUGCGAUGCAAUCUGGUGUGCCGAUGGAGCGCUCGGCGUCGGCGGCGGAGCUGCAAUGGAGCGCUCGGAGCCGGCGGCGGAGCUGCAAUGGAAGUGCAAGUCGCCGGCGGCGGAGCUGCAAUGGAGCGCUCGGAGCCGGUGGCGGAGCUGCAAGUCGCCGGCUAUGGAGUUGCAAUGGAGCGCUCGUCGGCGGCUCCCCCGUACUGCAUCGCAGCGCUUGCCGACGGCUCAAUGUAGCAUCAUCGGUGGCUCAAUGCAGCGUCGUCCGUGGCUGAUGCAGCUUUGCCGGCAACUCUUGGGGGAGCCCGUGUCGCAAGUCGCAACUGCACGCUUGGAGUCUUCGUUGUUGCCACGACCGGCGACAGUUACGCGUUUGCAAGGCGAGGAACGGCUGGGGCAAGCUUGGUGCUGCAAGCGAGCGGCUGCGAGCUAGUUCAGGGCUGCGACCCAGUGUGUGGGGAUUUUUGGCAAGGCUGCGACACAAGGAAGACGAGGCCACGCUCGGCGUCGUAUUGCGUGAGAGCGACACGGUCAAGUACAAGUUGACUAAUCGUACGUCUGUGAGAGCUUUGAUCGGACGGCUGGGACCCGAUUGAUUUCUCAUGAAAUCAGUCGAAUGAUUUUUAGCAGCCGUCAUAAAUAGGGGUUUAAAAUAAACACGCCCGGUCACUGACCGGACACGGCCGCAGACAUUUGAGGGAUCGAAUUAGAGGUACGUGGCUGAAGAUGCUCUUGCACCUCCAUGCAUGCAGCCCAAAAUGGUACACGGCCGCAUGAAGCACAAUUGUGCUUAAGUGUUUUUUUCUUCAAAAGUGAAAUACGGUAGUGCUUCGGUUUGGAGCGCAAUUGUGUUUUUGUGCUUUUCACAAAAGUGAAGCACAAAUAUGCUUCCGUGUGAAAGCAUAACUGCUUUUCCCGGUAAGUGAAUAACAAAUGUGCUUCCCCGUGAAACAUACUUGUGCUUUUAUGGUUAUUUCCUUUUUCUUUUUACGGUUACCGUUUUUUCAGUAUUUCGUCUUUUGUCUCUAUUUUUUGUUUGGUUUUUGGGAUUGGGCCAAAAAAAUGUUCGUCGAAACCUGUCAAAGUUCGAGGAUCUCAACGUGAGAAAUGCAACGGUAAAACGAUUCAUGAUUUGAACGGAUGGUUCAAGAGAUAAAUUAUUUUGAUGAAACAACUCUACAAAGAAAAGCACAAACAAAUCCACAUGCCUCCCGUGUAUGUGAAGAAAUCUCACCAAAAAAUUCAUAGGUUGUGACAAGAAUCGCACAUAGAUUACGCCACUUGUCACCACAAGAGAAGAUGGGACUGUCCCUUGCAAAAAGUACCCCUUAAGGUUGUAGAGCACAGGGACGAUGCCAUCAUAAGGGCAUGUAUGAUCGACCGCCUCGAGUAGUCGCGUAAUGUGAUCCCCAAGUGGCCAAGUCCAACCAUGAUCCGUUUUGGAGUAGACAUGUCUACCUGGAUAUGGAACAAGAAAACUGGGAACCUCCUAUAUGACGCAUUUUGCCUCGUAUAGGAGCUCGACGCAGACGGGCGACGCUCGACUUGGCCAGCCCACCGACACGAAAGCCACUUGUGUUUCCUAGUGCGCAACCUAAGAAAUCCUAGAAAACAAUAGAGCACGUGAGGAUUGGAUCCCACGAUCUCGCUCACACCAUACUCGCGACUGCGACCAGUUAGCCACUCCACCACACAGUCGCUGCUGAACAUGAAGCGCGAAACUCUAUAGCACACACAUCAGGGUUGAUAUAUGGAAAACAUUUUAGAAACAUUUCUUGAAAAUUGUGAACAAUUUUUAAAUGCCGCAAAUAUUUUUUGAUAUUCCAAAUUUGUUUUCUGAAAAAAUGUGAACAACUUUUGUAAUAUAGAAUUAGAAAACACGGACAUUUUUUGCACAACCCAAACAGUUUAAUGAAGUUGUGAACAAAUUUUGAAAAAAAGAACAUUUUUUGAAUUUCCUGAUUUUUUUUGAAAACACAAACAUAGAAAAAUUCGAAAAUGAGAACAUUUUUGAAAUACCUGAUUUUUUAAAUUGCGAUUUUAGUAAAAGAGAACAUUUUUUGAAACACGGACAUUUUUCGAAAUUGUGAACAAAAUAUGAAAAUAAAACCAUUUUUUGAAAUUCUUGAAAAUUUGUUGAAAUUGGCAACAAAUUUUAAAAAUGAGAAAAUAUUUUGAAAUUCCAAAUAAUUAUUACAAAUUUUCAAACAAAAUAAACAUUUAAAAGGAAAUAGAAAAUAGGAAAUAAAAAAGAAAUAAAAAAAGAAAAUGAGAGAGAAGCAGAACAAGAAAAAAAGAAAAAGAAAAUGAGAGAGAAGGUUCUAGAAGGUUCCCAAAACCGAUAAAAACCGCUAGGAACCCUCUAGAAGAUUCCCAAAACCAUAACGUUGUACAUAUUACAGAUUGGCUGGCCCAAUCGCUCGCUCGGACGCUUCCUAUGUGCGAUUGGUCGGUAGUUUGAUGCAAAAUGCAUUAAACAUGGAUUUCCGGAAAACUUAUCGUGGUCUAGACUUAAGUAACAAAAAAGGGUAGAAGUAGCCCAGUUGUAGCCCAAAUUUGAUAUCUAUAAUUGUGUGAGUGCCGACCGUGUAGGUAAUCCCUAUUUUGCGCUUCAGGCGCCAGUUAUAGGCCAUUUUGCUUUUUUUUGAGGUAAACUGCUAAGUUUUAUUCAUCAAUCCAUAUGUCUACAAGUACUCCCUCCGUUCCUUUUGUGUAAGGUGUAUUAUUUCCGGCACGGUGACCAAGACACAGAAAUAUAUGCAUGUUAGGACGAAAUUACCCUUGACAAAUUUAUUUGUUAGUGCUAAGUAAACCAGUUAGUCAAGGAAAUUAAAGUAUGAGAUACAUGCAAUUGACAGAGAGAUACUUUCCUUCUUUUGUUACAAGGAGAGAUACAGACAAUCAGGAGAGAGAUACUUUCCCUUUUUCUGGAGGGCUAACAAGAGAAUUAUGUGGAAUUAGAAAAAAUGCACCUUACAUUCUACAAUUUUAUCAAAAAACAAAUACACCUUAUAUAAAGGAACAGAGGGAGUAUUACAUAAGGAUCAUGUGGUUGCCCCAACCAAAUGUGGCGGCCUUGAUCCAACUUAAGAGCAUGCGUAGCUAGUUUAUGUGGCUCAACAUUUGAGCUCCUAGAUUAAAAUUUAAAAACACAAGAAAUGAAGAGAUAUUUCCACUCCAAAAUCUCCUUGACUACUCCACCAUAGUUUCCACCCUACACUUCCUUGAUAUGCUUAACAACUGUUUCGCAAUCCGACACGAUCACUAAGUUUGUAGCCCAAGAUCUUCUACUAGUUAUAGUCCCUCCCGGCAUGCUAUAGCUCAAGACUGGCCGGGUCCGUCAGGCCCCGUAUGACAAAAACAAAAGAACCCAAAUAUGCACCUGAGCCAUCUCUACACACCGCGGUCGCAGUCCCGACACCACGAGAGACAGCGGCAUCAACAUUGAUCUUCGAAUGACCCUGAACAGCCGGAAUCCAUCUCCUCGGUGCUGCUACUGCUGUAUUACAUACCCAGUUCCCACUAGAGGGGUGAAUCUCUCCCAGCUCCAUAAUGAAGUGGGUAAUGAACAUAUAAGUGGACAGAGGGCUCUGAUCAAUUCCCUCAUGAAUCAGUCUGUGCCGCGCCCACCAUAUAGGCCAGGUAGUGACUGUUAACUUAGUAAAUAUCUCAUGCGAGAGCUGCUCAAGCAGAGUAAACAACUAGUCCUCGCGUUCUGUUCAUUAUUUUCCAUCAACUCUUCGAUCAGCUCCUUGUCAACUAAUGACCACACACAACGAGCAGCCGUACAAUCCAGUAGGUUGUGCCUCCAAGAGUCCAGCAUGCCACAAAUAGCGCAAGUACAUGUUGCCGACAUAUUCUGGUGCAUUCUCAUGUCUUCCGUCGGUAUGGAAUGAUGCACUAGUCUCCAUAAAAAUACUCAGAGUUUCGUCCCCAUAAAAAUACUCAGAGUUUCGUUGGAACGUAAGUUUUCCAUAGUUUGACCCAACUCUUAUCCUCUUCCUUCCUACUCUAGGGCCCCGGGCGCUGUUCUAACAAGUCUUCACGCCGGCACUUUGUUUCAACUAUCAUACGAUAAGCAGACCUAAUAGAAAACUUCCCAGAAUUUUCAUGCAUCCAUCACCAGUAAUCAUCCACAACUCAAGCAAAUAGGGAUUUGUAGUAUCUCAGCCGCAUCACAAGGUAGAAAAACAUGGUUUACCAGCUCCAUAUUUCAUCGGGCGUUCACUGUAUCAAUUAACUUAGAGACAAGUUGCGGUGGAUCCGGCACUCUAGACACCAUCGGCCUCAUGAACUCCGAUCUUGGGAUCCAGUCAGUGUUCCUGAUUUUCAUGGAGGAACCAUCACCCAGUGGCGGAGCUUGGGACACAUCUUAGGNNNNNNNNNNNNNNNNNNNNNNNNNNNNNNNNNNNNNNNNNNNNNNNNNNNNNNNNNNNNNNNNNNNNNNNNNNNNNNNNNNNNNNNNNNNNNNNNNNNNNNNNNNNNNNNNNNNNNNNNNNNNNNNNNNNNNNNNNNNNNNNNNNNNNNNNNNNNNNNNNNNNNNNNNNNNNNNNNNNNNNNNNNNNNNNNNNNNNNNNNNNCAGGUUUAGGCUAGAUUUCUAUGAAACUGUGGGCAGUAUAAUAUGAACAAAUCUCCUGGGCAGGGGGGCGAUGACCCAGGUUGAUCUUCACUAAGCUCCGCCACUGCCAUCACCUAUGCAUCUAACCAAGCCCUAUUUCAUGAUAUCCCUACCCUCCAAUAUUGAUCUCCAAACCUGGGAAGGGUGAUUUGAUUUCCCAAGUUGGCCUCAAGGAUGGAGCAUGAGGGAAAAAUACACAAUCUUCAGUAUGCGAGCACCGAGAAUGUUGAGGGAAACUAGAAUCCUCCAAGAUUGUUGACCAAGUUGAACAAUUCAAAAUCCCUGAAACCAAGGCCACCCAUGUACCUUGGCAUAGUCAUCUUGUCCCAUGAAACCCAAUAGGGCUUUCUCUUCCCCUGUUUGCUUCCCCACCAAAAGGCCCUAAUAGCUGAAGUUAUUUUUUCACCAACCCACGUGGGAGCUUGAAACACGACAUCGAGAAGACAAGAAUAGCUUGUGCCACUGAUUUGAUUAAAACAUCUUUACCUGCUGCUGAAAGUGUUUUCUCCAUCCACCCUAUAAUCUUGUUCCACAGCCGGUCAACAGAUACUUGAAGGCACCAUUUUUGGAUGUUCCUACAUCCCCAAAUAUUUCUCACUUAGUUGCUCAUUCUGAAAUUGUAAAAUAAUCUUCACCUAUGCUCUUAGCACUUUUGGACACCCUUUACUAAAGAAAAUUGAUGAUUUGUCUUCAUUUACUCUCUGUCCAGAUGCUCUAGCAUAGGCAAAAUGGACUCCGCCGACGAGUUCUUUUUCCGUAAAUUCCUUUGCGACUCCGACGAUUCCUAGUCCGAUGAUGAUGAGGAGAUCUUGGUGUUGGGGAACGUUGCAUGAAAAACAAAAAAUUUCUAUGCACACGCAAGAUCUAUCCAUGGAGAUGUAUAGCUACGAGAGGGGAGAGUAUCUUCAUACCCUUGAAGAUCGCUAAGCGGAAGCAUUUAUCAACGCGGUUGAUGUAGUCGUACACCUUCACAAUUCAUCCUGAUCAAGUACUGAAUGUACGGCACCUCCGUAUUCAGCACAUGUUCAGCUCGAUAAUGUCCUCGCCUUCUUGAUCCAGCAAGAGAGGCGAAGUAGUAGAUGAGUUCCGAUAGCAUGACGGCGUGGUGAUGGUGUUGGUGAAGAACAAUCCCGCAGGGCUUUGCCAACCACAACGGAAACUAGACAGAGGAUAAACUAGAGUGACGGGGUUGCCAGCACACGGCUUAGUGAAUGUUGAGCCCUUGGUUAAAACUUGGAGUAAAAGCCUUCUCGAAGUCGGUUUUGCCCGAUAGGCAAGAGUCCUUCUCGGACUCGAGGACCAGACGCCACAGUCCUUGGCCUCUGGCCCAGAUGCCAUGGGCCUUGGCAUCUUGCCCAGGGCCAGACGCCAGGGUCUCCGGGAUUUGGUCUCUGACCUCCGCAAAACUCCCUUUUGCACCAACCUAAAGCCCCCUGGGCCUUACCCGUUGGCCUAACCAUAUCAUCAUAUAUAUCAAUCUUUACCUCCGGACCAUUCCGGAGCUCCUCUUCAUUUCUGUGAUCUCAUCUGGGACUCCGAACAACAUCCUGUCACCAACAUACAUAACUCAUAUAAUAUUAUAUCGUCAACGAACGUUAAGUGUGCAGACCCUACGGGUUCGAGAAUGAUGUAGACAUGACCGAGGCGCUUCUCUAGUCAAUAACCAAUAGUGGGACCUGGUGGAUGCCCAUAUUGGUUACUACGGGUUCGGUACUAGAUCGGUUGGAUCGUGAAGACGUUCGACUACAUCAACCGCGUUAACCUAACGCUUCCGCUUUCGGUCUACGAGGGUACGUGGACACACUCUCCCCUCUCGUUGCUAUGCAUCUCCUAGAUAGAUCUUACGUGAGCGUAGAUUUUUUUUUGAAAUUGCAUGCUAUGUUCUCCAACAAUUUGUGCGCUUUACCAAGACCAAUGUCAUGAAACACACCAUGGUAUGUUUUGUAUCUUUUCUCUUUUUUCCUUCAUAGCACUAUAUGGCAAGAUGUCUAACAUUGUGUGCUCUAUUUUGUUUCUAAUCACGGGAUCAUAGAAAUUUUCUAUGCGACGUGGUUUAUUUGCAAGCUUUAGAUGUCUUGAGCAAGAAUCUAUUAGAUUAAGACGGUUGCAAAACGGAAUUAAAAAAUAUAUGUGUGAAGCAAUUAUUGUUGAACUAAUAAAAAUACGUAUGCCCAUGUUCCAACACAUGGGUAAUUAACUAGUCUACUAUAGACAAACAUACAUUUAGCAAUCAACACCUUUCUUCUACCAGAUAUGUGUCAACACAUUCCAUUGCCUCCGGGAUUACCUCCAUGCCACCGCCUUGGUUACCUUCCCCUCUCCAUUCCAACAGCCUUGUCGGUGAUUAGAUAAGUGGGGCAAUGUCCCUUCGUAAUUCUUAGUUAUAGUGAUUCCUUAUAUUUUUACCUUAGGUUUUAGUUUCACAACAGCAUCGAUGAGGUGGCGAUAACAUGGAUGGUUGGAAGAAGGUCUCUUUGGCAUGUCUCUACCUUGAAGACAUAUGAUCUGAUGCUUACGAAGGGCCAGUGAGGAUAGGUGAUGCGAGAUAUCUUGGCUCCCUUUGGGUCUGGCACUUGAUGUGUGGAUAAAAGAGAGUGGUUGGCUAGCUUUUGGUGCAGUGACUUUGACUUCUUCUUUCAGUUCUAUCUAUGGCAAUCUGAUUUCUUCCACCCUGUAGAUUGGUGGAGUAGGAUUGAAUGUCUGCGCUGUUCAAUGGGUGACUAUUGCAUUCAACGGUUCAAGAAUGCACUAGAUGAUGCUCCUUCAACGGUUACUAUAUUUCUUUGCUAUCAAUGGGUGACACUUGCAUUCUUGAAAGGCUUAUGUGACGAGGGUGUCUGCAACUCUUCCUUUUUCGUACAAUCUUCUCGGUGCAUUCUUCAAGCUCAAGUAUAUGACAAAUUGUCGAAGGAAGAUGUCAAGAAAGGCAUUGAAUAUGAUAUUAUUUUUAGAGGUCGUUUUAUGCCACGUUACCCCUUUUGUACUAACUAUUGUAUUCACUAAUAAAUAUUAUAUGUAAGAUGCCCUUGGGUAUCAUCUCUAAAAAAAUAUAGACAUUUCUAUCAAGAUAUUUGUCGGAUACUUCUCUAUAGUUCAAACACUUUGUCAUUAUGUUGCAGGACACAAAAUGCAGUAGGACGUAUACAUGUCUUAAGCCUUAUAUUUACUAUUUAUUAACUAGGAUAUGUUCUUUCUGAUUGUUCAUCCCCACCUCUCACGUAUAUUUUACUGCUAAGGAUAUUCUGAAAAAUGACAAACUAACUUGAAUUCAAGAUAACUAAUCUACAAUAAAAAAACUUAACCACGCAUGUCAAAUCUCUAAAAAAUUAUAAUAAAUAUAUAGAGGCCUGUAAUUUCAUAUUUAUCUUUAGUUUUCUGCAUGCCUAGAAAGAGCCAAUCUAAAAUAUUUUCCUAAAUGCAAAUUUAUCAAAAUGAGAACAAUUCAUGUUAUUUCUAUUGCAAAAUGCAAUUCAGAAUGAGACUAAACGGUUAGAAAUAUUAAACUUAUGUGGUUAAUUUUGUUAGGUGUAAUAAAAAACUGUAUUUACAAAAUAAUCAUAAAACUUCUUCCUGGAAAUACCAAGGGUUCAUCAGUCCAAUCAGACCAGUUUCUGUAUUCAAUGUAAGACCAAUCAUGAGAUGCAAGUCUGUCUCUUCAAGCUCUUAGCUGAUGCAUAAGAAAUCGGGGCAGCAAACAAGUUCUGUCGAAAGGUUUGAUGAUUGGGCAGGAACAAAUUCGUUUGAAUCAACGAGCUACUGGUUAUGGGCAGCAAGUUAGCAUUAUGCUUGCUCAAUAUAAUGCAUGCAUUUUCAUUUUUUGUGUAGGUUGCUAUUUGUGAUUCACCUCAAUGUACUUGGUUUUUUGAUAGUUCAUUUCUCAUACGACAUGAACUUCUGGUUGUUCUUACUGAAAGUGUAAUUCAAUAUGACCUAAGUUAUACAAUAUGAUUUUUUUUUCUUCAAUUGAAAAUAAUAAUUUCAGGAUUUUACAUUCUUGCAAGAGUAUAAGAGGUUGCAGACAAACCAAUUUAUAUGUGGACACUUCAUAUUGUCAGUGGGCAUACUCUUGGUCAUUUAUGUGCUGCAAUGGUGCCUCUUUUUUUUAUUCUCAUGUUAGCGAAAAGGACAAGGCCAAUUUAACCAGAAAGGUAUGAACUGAUAAUUCCAUAGACUCAUGUGUAAAGUGGAAUUUGAUCAAAAGUGCAUGAUUUUUCUUACCAAACUUAAUGUGGUGAGUACCAGUCCAACAAAUACUUUCCUCGUUCCUUUCCAAAUAUUUGUGUUUCUUCAUCCAGUCUAGUUCUGCUAACAAUUUCACCACAUUAAGGUUGGAUUUGCUCAUGUGACAUGGUUGUUUGGUUGGUUGUGUGGUGAAGGGCAUGUGCUUGGAGAUGGGGAAGUGUCUCAUCCAUGAUCCACACAAUAUAUUUGAUGCAUUUAUUGGAUACAUUUAUUUAACAAUCAUUGAAAAAAUUGCGAACGCCACUGCGUUGCAUCAUUAUGCCAUACAUUAUUUUAUUGCAUUCAUCUGCUUAUGCAUUUUGGCCACCACUAGAGUUUCCAUUGUUUUAUAAGUAUAUUGUAAUUUUUAUGCUGACCAAUAUGUCCAAAUGCUCUUAUAUAUCAACUACUCAACCAUAUGCAGUGCGUGUUUAUGUCUUGUAGGGGUAAAAUCAACAACAAAAACAACAACAACAACAACGACGCCGACAACAAAGCCUUUAGUCCCAAACAAGUUGGGGUAGGCUAUGCUGAAACCCAUAACAUCUCACAACAAACUCAUGGCUCUGGCACAUGGAUAGCUAGCUUUUACGCACCUCUGUUCAUGGUUAGUUCUUUGGUGAUACUCUAGUCAUUCAGAUCUCACUUUACAGACUCCUCCUAUGUCAAGUUUGGUCUACACCGACCUCUCUUGACAUUAUACUCCUUAAUGACCCUCUCUUUGGAUGCUUGAGCUACCCCCGGGCUUCCACCACUUCGUUCUAGUGACUUUGGCACGCUUAUCCUGUUGGGACACGAAUCCGAAAGAGAAAGUCAUUCACCACAAGCUUAUGCUGAGGGGCAACACACUCUCCAGGUAUCACCUUACAAUCAAGAUAAGCACGCCAGUCUUCUCUUCUCAAGAGGAUGAAAUCAAUCUCACUAGAGUGUUGACCACUACUAAGAGUCACUAGAUGUCAUUCUUGUUAAAGUGGAUGUUCGCUAUGAUCGUCGUAGGCUAGAGAAAAUCUUAAGACAUCUUCUCCUUCUUGAUUCCUGAUGCGAUAGCCAAAGCCCCGAUGCAUCGCUUCAAAACCUAUGUUAGAUGUAUCCACGUGGCCAUUGAGGUAUCCUCCUAUGAAGAGCUUCUUGCCAAUAGGUACUCCUAACCAUGUUCUCCAUGCCUGCCUAGAACUCCUUGGUGUUCUCAUUGUGGCCUACUUGCGGGGCAUACACGUUGAUAACAUUUAGAACUAAGUCCCCAGCUUGACCAGGAUAAUCUGGUCCCCACGCCUCCUGACGUCUACCACUCCACACUUGAGGCUCUUGUUGAUCAAGAUGUCUAUUCCAUUCCUGUUUGCAGUUGUCCCCGUGUACCAUAGCUUGAAGCCGGUAUCUCCACCUCCUUUGCUUUCUAUCCUCUCCAUUUGGUUUCUUGGACUCAAAAUGAUAUCAACACCUCUCCUCACCGUUGUAUGAACUAGCCCCUGAAGUUUACCUGUCAGGGUUCCUAUUUUCCAGCUACCUAAACGAUUCUUCCUAGGCUCGGCUAGCUUCCUUAUUCUUCACAGUCGUCGAGUCAAAUGCGAAGACCCUUCAUUUUUCACUACACGCGGGCGUCGAUGUAGCGCGCCACUAAGGAUGCGAUGUGACGACCUGAUCCUUGCUCACUUGUCACCGUAUCCAGAUCAAGAUACUACGCGCCACCUGGUGGGUGACGGCCCGGCCCUUGCCCAUUUGACACAACACCAGCGUUCUGAUAUGGCGCAUCGUUGAGAGGGUUACGCCCCAAAGAUUUUAUUCUAGGUUCAUCUCCAUUAAGAGUGGCUGAGUUCUUGAUGUUGGCUCGCCAAGCCUAUCACAACCCUCGUUUACUCGGGCUUGGGACCGGCUAUGUUGAGACAACAUAGGCAGAGUUGUCUUGUAGGGUACACACAAAGAGUAUAAUUUUGAUUACAUGAUCUGACAAUUUCCCUCAUUUCAGACACAUGAUUCUAGUGCAUCAUCAAUUAAUGCUUGCUUUCAUGGUCUGCUUAUUGGUGCCCAAGAUGAUCUGCCUAUGGAUGCCCAAGUUACAAGUAUGAUAAUCUUCUGAUCCAUGUCCAAGCAAAUUAGAGUCACUCCACAUAUUGACCAUGUUGCUGCUUUGUCUAGAGGCCUGACACUACAUAAUUACUAACCUCCCUUGACAAUUGACUCAUUCCAUACCAUACUAUGUGCAUUAUGUUAUUAUGGAGGUAAUUAUACAAUGAUAACUUUACUACCAUGUCAUGCUUUCUCCACAAUUUUAGAAAGUAAAAUCUGUCUCUAGCAUGCAUGUGAUUCUUGCAUUGAUAUUUAUUUAUUUGGAUAACCUAAUUAACUUCUUCCACACUCGUGAAAGUUAGAUACGUGCUUUUUCAUGUGUGACUUAUUGACUGUGUUGUUGCUCUAAAUCAGGUUAGUGCCAUAAUGUAUGAAAUCAGCAUUUUGAUGUGGGAGUUUAGUGCUCGUCAUGUGGAUAAUCAGGCAAAGUCCUCAGAGGAGCGAGGAAUGUUAGAAACCCCAAUUCGUGCUCGGCAAAUAGUCCCGCGUAUUCAUGGCCUUUAUGGGAUGGACAUUCUUACAAAGUGAACGAUCGGAUGAGUCCAUAUUUGGAUUAUGGGGCACAUCCGCUGUUGGCAAGACACGGCUUCUUUCGCUUAUCGCUGAUAGCUAUGCUGAUUCAUUUCGUCACGUCAUAUUUCUUGAUGGUGGCAGUUGCCUGAGAUCAUGCAAAAUCAUUUCGCAUAUUUUUUGAAAUUGGAUUGGGAGACAAUCUCAUUGUUAGACGAUGUGCAAGAUGAAGUCUACCCAGAUUUAACAGCUCUUGGUUUGCCGAUGGCUCUUGGGCAUCGGCAAAAAGUUGUUCUUACGUCGAGGAGUCAGGUAGUAUGUGCUCGCAUGGAAUGCACCAUAUCAAACACUCUGGAGAUGAAGUGUCUUGGGGAUGAAGAUGCUUGGAGUCUUUUCGAGUAUAAUGCGGGAGUAAAAAUCACAGAAGCUGAUACUGAAAUUUAUGAAUAUGCAAAACAAGUAAUAUAUAUUUCUACAUAAUAACUUUUCAGAUAUACGUUUAACCUACAAAUAAAAACUGUGCACUAUAAUUUAUAGUUUAUAUUGGUUAUUAGAUGGUUUCAGCAUGUGGAGGGUUGCCUAGAGCCAUAUGUGCUAUUGGCCUAGGCAUUCGGUUACACCGAACCGAUCGGUUCGGUGCCUCGGUCUAUUUUUAAUUUCGGUUUCCAAAUUUUAUGGACCGAUCGGUCUUCUGAGAAUUCACUAACCGAGGCUUUCGGUCUAGCGAGAAUUCGGCUCGGUCCUCGGUUAUAACCGAAGGGGACUUUUUUUCUACGGAAACACUAACGCCCACAUGUGUGGGCGUUCUCCAACUCGCCCACACGUCUAGAUGAUCGUUGAUUGUCUUUUGCACGAAUCUUGACACGAAAAGGUGGAUUUGAUGUGCCACGUAGGAGGGGCUAGUGUGUGGGCGUUGGAAAGUUUGCCCACACGCCCCGCAUCAUGCUGUUGCCAGCUGCGAUGUGUAGGAGAACUAGUUUCUGCCCACACAGCCACCACCUAGUCCAUGCGCGUGUGGGUGAACUGAUUUUCGCCCACACGACACUACUACGUUGUGGAUGGCAAUUGCAGUUACGUGAACGUGGCAACUAGGUACACAAACAUGGUAACUGUGAUUCUUUUGCUAGACGGCAACUGCAGUUGCGCGUGUGUGGCAACCAGAUAAACACACAUGGCAACUGCGAUUAACUAUACAUGGCGACUAUGGUUGGACCACACGUGGCAACUAGGUAAACACACAUGGCAACUACUGUUUGACCAUGUGUGGCAAGUAGUUAAUCACACACGGCAACUACGGUUUUGAUUACACGCGGCAACUACCAUAAAUUAGACAUGGCAACUAUAAUUGAUCAAAACAAAUAGAGUUGCCAUGCUUUUACAACUACACUUGCCAUCCCGGAUAACUACAUCUGCCAAUCAGGAUGGCAACUAAAUCGUCAUCCCGCGGGUACCUAACGUUGCUGCGCUAGGACGUGUGGGCAUUUUUGCUUCGUUCCACACGCGUGAGGUGAAGAUGAGUAGUACUUGUUGGGCGUGUGGCACGAAGUAGCCGCGCCCACACGUGUGGGCAAUUCUAAUGUCCGCCCACAAACAACCCGUGUGGGCUGCAUCCUGCUCACACCACACAUGGUAUGUGGCCAGACCCUUUAACGCCCACACGUGUGGGCGUUAUCGGCGUCCUUUUUCUAACUUGAAGAGAGAACAUAUUGGAUCGGAAGGAGUCAAAUUCUAAGCGAGAAACAAGUUCGGAAAAGGAAUCGAUCCAAACAUGCAUUGCGCUGCCUAAUAUGGCUCAAUCAGGCCGCUCGUGGCAACCUUUGCAUAGCAUACAUGAAUGGUACAAGGAAAGACAUACAAUAGGAUACUAGAUAGGGAUCGCGCCGUGGCGCGAGGGUGCCGGUCAAAACGUUUGUAUGCACAUAAUAAGAAGCUACUUAACAAUGCAUGAACAUAGAAAGCAUGUUUCACGAUAGGUUAGCACCAAAUAUCUUAGGCAUAGAAGAUACGACAACACGUCGCUUAAAGACAAUUUACAACUAUGCAUAGAUAACUUUAAGUUUUAGGCAUAACAUAGACGUUUAGGCAUAGAAGAUACGACAACAUGUCGCUUACAGACGUUUUAGGCAUAGAAGAUACGGCAACACGUCGCUUACAGACAAUUUACAACAUGGGUCUUGCCGUCCUCAUGAACAACGCGUUUAUACUGAGCCGAUAAUAGUCCAAGGUGUGCCAGGAGCAUGCCAAGAACUGCCAUGUGUGGGAUCCUAAGCACUCGCUUGGUGUCCUGCAGUUCCCAAUAACAUAAAACAUAAGGCCUUGGGGAAUUGCCCAAAACAAUUGCAUUACAGCAUGGGGAAAGAAUCAGAGAAAUCAGUUGCGGAUAAAAGCAACCAUAGUGAUAAAAAAGAUAUGCCAAGCCUAUCCUUUAAUCAGGAUUUUGUUAGGAUGUGCCAAGCAUUUAAAAAAAAACAGAUUAUGAAUCAGGAUUUUGUUGCAAACAGACUGAAUGAUGGAAUGAGAAGAGGAAUAUAUUCAUGAAAUAAAGCAAGAGAGAUAAAGUUGAAAGGAAAGAAGUGCAGAGCUUGCAGGUGAAAAACAUCAUAUAAAAUGUAUAAUCACCAAUCAGGCAAUUUCAAGAUAUCAUGACUUAUUGCUGUGAUUAAAACAAAGCUAGUUGAUGAAUGAUUGGAAUCAGCUAUUCACUGAAUAAAUAUAUUCAUGGCGUAGUUUCAGUUUUGUGCCAUGAAGAGAGGCCGUCGAGUGUGAUAUCUAGAACAGAGAUGACCAUAUAUAUCAAGAAUGGUGAGGUAUGAAGAAAACAAACUCUCUAAGGAACACAUGCAGGUAGGUAUUUUUUUCUUGGAUUCUAUUGCUUCUACCUGAAUCUCAAGGUAUACAGUGACAUCCACGAUUAGCGGAAUUAAGCAACAACGACAUGCUCUCUGAUUUCAAUGUAACAUGUUUCAAUUCCUCUAUAACCUCUGUGUUUUAUCAAAACAAGCGCACAAACAAGAUAAUCAUCGAAACAAUAUUAUGUUCUCAACAAGGCUAUAUGCAUUCUUCUCAAGUCUGAGAUAUGCACGUACAAUGGUCUUAGAUCGAUUGAUAAUCACCAGAACUAACUACAGUACAUAGUCUGUGAAUCAAAAGUGAGAAAAUACCAGGAAGAUGAUUUGUGUAGUUGCAAGAGCUCAGGGGAAAGGAGAGUAGGCGGACCUGCUUGCUGGAGCUCCUUGACUGGCCAGUUGAACGUGCAGCCACAGUCGAGAGAGUGCUACUACCUUACAUGAGAGCAUGUUAAAUGGAAAAAACUCAAAUUCCUAACAAGAACAUUUUUUGAAAGAUCCAUAAAAUCCAGAUCAGGAUAGGGGGACUAACACGAACUCAUCCUUCACGCGAGCACCGCCACUCGAUGGAGAUGGUUGGUACCCCACGCCACUCCACGCAUCAUCAUAUUCCUCCUUCACGUGAGCACCGCCGCUCGGCAGCCUUCACAUCCACCGGCUCGGCUCCCUCGGCGGCCACUGUGCCCCACACCGACAUGAGCGCCCAUCCAAAGGGAAAUAAAGAAGUAGACAACAAAACAAAGAGCGAUGUUAAUAUAACCACAUCAUUCAAUUCACAUGUCAAGAUACAAUAGGAAGUCUUUCCACCAAGCGGCUUGAUACAUACAAUUAAACUCAGGAAAAUAAUUUUCACCACUCAUAGAUAAUAAGCAGCUGUAAGGGGGCACGCAGACAACCACAUACGAGUAUACAUGCAAAGAACUUCAAAUAAAGGUAUGCCACAGGAAAAGUAAACUCCAACAUAUUACCAAAGAGACAAUAAAAGCUCUAAACCAAAAAAUCUAAGAAAUGCUCAAUCAGUUUACUUAAUAGUUACGAAAUUAAUUAUUCUCGGUCAGGUGGUUCUGGUAUACUUAAGAAAACACUUGUAGACUUCAAGUACAGAUAAAUACUCAAGCUACAUGGAAUAGUAAACAACAUAGUUCUAUAAUAACAAGUGAUUCCAAUUAAACACAAGUGCUCAGAACCAUGGAACUGGAGCUUUAUAAAAUCAUGCUACUAAUUAUCAUAGAUACCAAUUUAACUCAUAUGCGGACCAUGGUCAACUGUGGGUUUAUACACUCGUCAGAAAUAUUGGCCACUAAAAACAUAACAGCAUUAAUACAGUCAACACAUACCUCAAGUACUAAAGGACUGAGGUACUAAUCAUCUGUUUGACUCAUUUUCACUUCUGCAUACGCUACUUUUAUAAAGUGAUCGAGCAGGGGUGCAGCAUCGUCGAGCAGGGGCGGCGGCGACAACCGGACCACCUUGAGCACCACGGUCCGGAAGCCAGGAGCAUGAGCAGACCAAAAUCAGAAUGGAUUAACUAGGAAACCCUAGACAAAUCCCUAAAAAACAACAAAGCCCUUGAUGAGCACAUACACAUCACAAAGGGAAAGACAAACAAGGGAGCAAAUAAUCACCUCAGCCAUCUUAGAAGCCCACUCGGUGUGCUCCCUCUCCGUCCGACCCGCAAGACAGCCCCAACGCCACGCCACCAUCCCAACCGUGAAACAGCCAGAGAAGCAAGGAAGAUGGUAAGAAACAAGCAAAAUAAAAGGUAGUGGGAUCCAAUACAAACAUUAACCAGCCUAAAGACGUUGUUAUUAGAAACAUGACACCGUGGUUUCUGAUGGUUUAUCAACAAAUUAAAACAAGCCAUUGAACCGACGACUUGCUUGCUCUUAACCAGAUGAAAUCAAGGACCGAAAACAAACAAUAAAAGUCAAGAACAACUUAUAUGCAAUAAAGGUAUGAGAGAGAAGAAAUAUUCACAUAAGGCGGCUAUAAACACUGGAGCAUAAAUAAGCAACACCUUUAAAUACAAAUAAAAAGGGUUCAGGGUUCAAUGCAUAGUGGGCUCAGAUUUGCCUUUCCUCGAUCAUAUAAUCUACCCCCGCCAUCUCUUGUCACCAGAUUAAUCUGUUUAUACAGUGGAGCUGCCCUAGUUAUAACUCAACAAGAAUGACCAUCCAAGGACAGAACAAUAAGUAUCACAUGAUCAAAAAGGAUUCUAGAGACAAGAGGGAGGACCCAACUUGAUACCCACUUGAUUGCUCAAAGGAACACUUAUUUCAGCCACAGCGAAUCAUCAUCGCCCUAGCAAUGAUGGCUUCCUACCGGUGGCGCACGUGCGAAUAAAAAGGGUUCAGGGUUCAAUGCAUAUGGGCUCAGAUUUGCCUUUCCUCGAUCAUAUAAUCUACCCCCAUCAUCUCUUAUCACCAGAUCAAUCUUUUUAUACAGUGGAGCUGCCCUGGUUAUCACUCAAUAAGAAUGACCAUCCAAAGGACAGAACAAUAAGUAUCAGAAGAUCAAAAAGGAUUCUGGAGACAAGAGGGAGGACCGAACUUGAUACCCACGGCUAAUCAUCAUCGCCCUAGCAAGAAUGGCUUCCGACCGAUGGGGCACGUGAUUCGAACGCGGUGGCACGAGAUAUCUCAUUUUGGGAGUAACUAUUCAUUCCCGCGGUAACUUUUUUUAUCCGACGGACGAGGUCGUUACAGGGGUCGAUCCGACGGCCCAAGAUCCAUCAAGCAACCAGACCCGACGGCCAGGAAUCCCAAAUCGCUGAGGAGUAGCCUGAGGAGCUUCUAUUCUUAUUUUUGGAUGGACUUAUUUAUGGAUUUCUGGAUGGAUCACCGGAUCAAUAUGUUCUUACGAGGGUUUAACUGCCCUGGUUAUCACUCAUUAGAAAUGACCAUCCAAGGACAAAGCCACUAAAAUAAGAACGUGAUCAAAACAGCUCAAAGAAACAAGGGAGGAUCCAAAUUAAUACCCACAAGUGCCUCGACUACUUGAGAGCAUGCCUAUAUCAGCCAUAACUGAUCAUCAUAGCCCUGGCCAUGUCCCAUAUAGUCGUCGAAGCAGAGCAGGGGAAGAUGAAGCUCAUAGAGGGAGGUUGUAGCCGAGGCAGUACUCAGAGGGCACCGGGGUUGCGCCUAAACGCCAUCCAACUAGUGAGGAACCACGUCGGAGUUGCGCCUUGCACCAUCCUGCCGACGAGCACGAAAGCCAUGGGCACCGAAGUGGCCAAGGAGGCGAGGAGGUGAUGUAUAGCACAUCUAGGAGCACCAUCAGAGACGACCGGGGCAACGAGCAGGCAGGAAGAGAGGCGAGGCGGCAGGGAGAGGAAAGGGCACGAUGUGAGUGCAGGCCUGUAGGGAGCGGAACAUCAGCUACUUUUUCUUUCAGAGUAUAUAGGAAGUAUCAAACAUAUCAUAUAAGUGCAAUCAUCUUUGAUAAUAUAAGAGAGCAUACAAAUCACAGACCUUGUUUAAGAUAUUUUGUCACAUCAAGUAGUUUAGAUAAGAAAAGCCUAACCCAGAAUUACAAAUAAUUGGAGCGAGUGAUAGAUUUAUUAUUCUGAUAAUUUGGUAGUGACUAUACAUAAAUAAUUCAUUCGCCAACAGUAAAAAAUAUGCGAUGUAUUAUUUACACAAAACAAUAUUUUUUGUAUAGGGUCAGAAAGAUAUUUCAGCAUUCAAAUCAAUAAGGCUGAAAUAAUCUAAGAGUAUUAUCACUAUAGAGAAACAAUUUAUGAACUCGCUGUCAGUCAAAAGUAUUAUCACUACAGAGGAACAAUGAUUUACAGAGAAGGGGAUGAGUAAGGUUUGUUUGCUCAGGACUGUGCAUCAACUAAUCACCUAAAGUAAUUUCAAUAAAUAAAAAUUUACAUAUCGAUCAAGAUAAACGUCACGGUUAAAAAAUACGUUGAUAAUAUAUACAUCAAUGACAUCUCAAAGCUCAUUUCACAACAAGACUACAGUAAACUUGAUAUAUAUAUAUAUAUAUAUAUAUAUAUAUAUAUAUAUAUAUAUAUAUAUAUAUAUAAUGGCCCCAUACAGAUCCCCAUCUGUAGAAACCAAGUGAAAAAUCAUUCGGAAUAUGGUGUUUAGAUAUCACUGCCCAUAAAUAUAUAAUGUCGCAUGAAAAAUGGUGUUUGUUCUAAAUGGUCACUUAAAAUACUUGUUCUAGCGCUGCAAACAUACACAGAUAAAGGGCAAGCCAACAACCGUAGGUAUUAAAUAGGCCUAUACACAUACACCUAUUUUCUUCCAUUCUAGAAUCAAGAUGCACUUUCAUGUAUUGUUAGAUUAUUUCUCAUCGUAAAGAGGAUCGAGCCAAAGCUUGAUUAUAAGUAUGUAAGCAAACAAUAUGGACAGAAGGAACAAACAUUGGGUGUCAAAUGCAAACAGUAAGCUUCAGAGAAUUUACAUCUCCUAAAAUCAUUCAAGGGAUUGUAGCCUUUUGACUACAUGGUAGGUUGGUAGGUAGAAAUACGUUCAUAGACAUUGACAUCAACAUUUUUAACCUGGGAAUAGAUAAAAAAAUGGCAAAGACGCAUCUCAUAUAAUCAAAGUAAACAUGGUAGAUCCAAAGCAAUGUAUCUAAGACUUAAAUUAAGGGGAAAAUGCAAACUAAUUAAAGAUUGAAGCCGUCAAUUUCACUCCCACAAUUUGCAAAUUGUAAUGGUCUCAGAUGAACUAACUGAAUAUAUUUACAUAAGGCAAGAGAAAUCAUCAUCACUGAUAUUCCCUAUAGACAUAGGUCUCUGCCAAGAAUCACACAAGUUCCUUGAUGCUCCAAAAACCAAGCGAUGUUCGAGCAAGGGAAACACGAAAAGGCGUGAGGAGAGCUCCGUCGGGAGGAAGAGGGGUGUUGGGGAACGUAGUAAUUUCAAAAAAAUUCCUACGCACAUGCAAGAUCAUGGUGAUGACAUAGCAACGAGAGGGGAGAGUGUUGUCCACGUACCCUCGUAGACCGUAAGCGGAAGCUUUAUGACAACGCGGUUGAUGUAGUCGUAUGUCUUCACGAUCCGACCGAUCCAAGCACCGAACGUACAGCACCUCCGAGUUCAGCACACGUUCAGCUCGAUGACGAUCCCUGGGCUCCGAUCCAGCAAAGCUUCGGGGUUGAGUUCCGUCAGCAUGAUGGCGUGGUGACGAUGAUGAUGUUCUACCGGCGCAGGGCUUCGCCUAAAUUCCGCGAUGAUAUGACCGAGGUGAAAUAUGGUGGAGGGGGGCACCGCACACGGCUAAGGAACGAUCCGUAGAUCAACUUGUGUGUCCUAGGGUGCCCCCCCGCCCCCGUAUAUAAAGGAGCCAGGGGGGAGGAGGCGGCCGGCCAAGGAGGGCGCGCCAAGGGGGGAGUCCUACUCCCUCCGGGAGUAGGACUCCCUUCUUUCCUAGUUGGAGUAGGAGAAGGGGAAAGAGGAGGAAGAGGAGAAGGAAGGGGGGGCGCCGCCCCCCUCUCCUUGUCCUAUUCGGACUAGGGAGGGGAGGGGGCGCGGCCCACCUCUUGCCUCCUCUCCUCUUCUCCCUUAUGGCCCAUGUAGGCCCAAUAACACCCGGGAGGGUUUCGGUAACCCCCCGGUACUCCGGUAAAAUGCCGAUUUCACCCGGAACACUUCUGAUGUCCAAACAUAGGCUUCCAAUAUAUCAAUCUUUAUGUCUCGACCAUUUCGAGACUCCUCGUCAUGUCCGUGAUCAUAUCCGGGACUCCGAACAAACUUCGGUACAUCAAAACUUACAAACUCAUAAUGAAACUGUCAUCGUAACGUUAAGCGUGCGGACCCUACGGGUUCGAGAACUAUGUAGACAUGACCUAGAACUAUUCUCGGUCAAUAACCAAUAGCGGAACCUGGAUGCCCAUAUUGGUUCCUACAUAUUCUACAAACAUCUUUAUCGGUCAAACCGCAUAACAACAUAUGUUGUUCCCUUUGUCAUCGGUAUGUUACUUGCCCGAGAUUCGAUCGUCGGUAUCCAAUACCUAGUUCAAUCUCGUUACCGGCAAGUCUCUUUACUCAUUACGUAAUGCAUCAUUCCGUAACUAACUCAUUAGUUACAUUUCUUGCAAGGCUUAUAGUGAUGUGCAUUACCGAGAGGGCCUAGAGAUACCUCUCCGACAAUCGGAGUGACAAAACCUAAUCUCUAAAUACGCCAACCCAAACAUCUACCUUUGGAGACACCUGUAGUACUCCUUUAUAAUCACCCAGUUACGGUAGCACCCAAAGUGUUCCUCCGGUAAACGGGAGUUGCAUAAUCUGAUAGUUUCAGGAACAUGUAUAAGUCAUGAAGAAAGCAAUAGCAAUAUACUAAACGAUCAAGUGCUAGGCUAACGGAAUGGGUCAUGUCAAUCACAUCAUUCUCCUAAUGAUGUGAUCCCAUUAAUCAAAUGACAACACAUGUCUAUGGUCAGGAAACAUAACCAUCUUUGAUUAAUGUGCUAGUCAAGUAGAGGCAUACUAGUGACUGUAUGUUUGUCUAUGUAUUCACACAUGUAUCAUGUUUCCGGUUAAUACAAUUCUAGCAUGAAUAAUAAACAUUUAUCAUGAUAAGAGGAAAUAAAUAAUAACUUUAUUAUUGCCUCUAGGGAAUAUUUCCUUCAGUCUCCCACUUGCACUAGAGUCAAUAAUCUAGAUUACAUAGUAAUGAUUGUAACACCCAUGGAGUCUUGGUGCUGAUCAUGUUUUGCUCGUGAGAGAGGCUUAGUCAACGGAUCUGCAACAUUCAGAUCCGUAUGUAUCUUGCAAAUCUCUAUGUCUCUCACUUGGACUUGGUCCCGGAUGGAAUUGAAGCGUCUCUUGAUGUGCUUGGUCCUCUUGUGAAAUCUGGAUUCCUUUGCCAAGGCAAUUGCACCAGUAUUGUCACAGAAGACCUUCAUUGGUCCCGAUGCACUAGGUAUGACACCUAGAUCGGAAAUGAACUCCUUCAUCCAGACUCCUUCAUUCGCUGCUUCCGAAGCAGCUAUGUACUCCGCUUCACAUGUAGAUCCCGCCACGACGCUUUGUUUAGAACUGCACCAACAUACAGCUCCACCAUUUAAUAAAAACACGUAUCUGGUUUGCGAUUUAGAAUCGUCCGGAUCAGUGUCAAAGCUUGCAUCGACGUAACCAUUUACGACUAGCUCUUUGUCACCUCCAUAUACGAGAAACAUAUCCUUAGUCCUUUUUAGGUAUUUCAGGAUGUUCUUGACCGCUGUCCAGUGAUCCACUCCUGGAUUACUUUGGUACCUUCCUGCCAAGCUUAUUGCUAAGCAUACGUCGGGUCUGGUACACAACAUUGCAUACAUGAUAGAGCCUAUGGCUGAAGCAUAGGGAACAUCUUUCAUUUUCUCUCUAUCUUCUGCUGUGGUCGGGCAUUGAGUUUGACUCAACUUCACACCUUGUAGCAUGGGCAAGAAACCUUUCUUUGCCUGAUCCAUUUUGAACUUUUUCAAAAUUUUAUCAAGGUAUGUGCUUUGUGAAAGUCCUAUUAAGCGUCUUGAUCUAUCUCUAUAAAUCUUGAUGCCCAAUAUGUAAGCAGCUUCACCGAGGUCUUUCAUUGAAAAACUUUUAUUCAAGUAUCCCUUUAUGCUAUCCAGAAAUUCUAUAUCAUUUCCAAUUAAUAAUAUGUCAUCUACAUAUAAUAUCAGAAAUGCUACAAAGCUCCCACCCACUUUCUUGUAAAUACAGGCUUCUCCAAAAGUUUGUAUAAAACCAUAUGCCUUGAUCACACUAUCAAAGCGUUUAUUCCAACUCCGAGAUGCUUGCACCAGUCCAUAAAUGGAUCGCUGGAGCUUGCACACUUUGUUAGCACCUUUUGGAUUAACAAAACCUUCUGGCUGCAUCAUAUACAACUCUUCUUCUAGAAAUCCAUUCAAGAAUGCAGUUUUGACAUCCAUUUGCCAAAUUUCAUAAUCAUGAAAUGCAGCAAUAGCUAACAUGAUUCGGACAGACUUAAGCAUCGCUACGGGUGAGAAAGUCUCAUCGUAGUCAACCCCUUGAACUUGUCGAAAACCUUUCGCAACAAGUCGAGCUUUAUAGACAGUUACAUUACCAUCAGCGUCAGUCUUCUUCUUAAAGAUCCAUUUAUUCUCAAUGGCUUGCCGAUCAUCGGGCAAGUCAACCAAAGUACAUACUUUGUUCUCAUACAUGGAUCCCAUCUCAGAUUUCGUGGCCUCUAGCCAUUUUGCGGAAUCUGGGCUCAUCAUCGCUUCCUCAUAGUUCGUAGGUUCAUCAUGGUCAAGUAACAUGACUUCCAGAAUAGGAUUACCGUACCACUCUGGCGCGGAUCUUACUCUGGUAGACCUACGAGGUUCAGUAGAAACUUGAUCUGAAGUUUCAUGAUCAAUAUCAUUAGCUUCCUCACUAAUUGGUGUAGGUGUCACAUGAACUGAUUUCUGUGAUGAACUACUUUCCAAUAAGGGAGCAGGUACAGUUACCUCAUCAAGUUCUACUUUCCUCCCACUCACUUCUUUCGAGAGAAACUCCUUCUCUAGAAAGGAUCCAUUCUUAGCAACGAAUGUUUUGCCUUCGGAUCUGUGAUAGAAGGUGUACCCAACAGUCUCUUUUGGGUAUCCUAUGAAGAAACAUUUCUCCGAUUUAGGUUCGAGCUUAUCUGGUUGAAGUUUCUUCACAUAAGCAUCGCAGCCCCAAACUUUAAGAAACGACAACUUUGGUUUCUUGCCAAACCACAGUUCAUAAGGCGCCGUCUCAACGGAUUUUGAUGGUGCCCUAUUUAACGUGAAUGCGGCCGUCUCUAAAGCAUAACCCCAGAAUGAUAGCGGUAAAUCGGUAAGAGACAUCAUAGAUCGCACCAUAUCUAGUAAAGUACGAUUACGACGUUCGGACACACCAUUUCUUUGUGGUGUUCCAGGUGGCGUGAGUUGCGAAACUAUUCCGCAUUGUUUCAAAUGUAAACCAAACUCGUAACUCAAAUAUUCUCCUCCACGAUCAGAUUGUAGAAACUUUAUUUUCUUGUUACGAUGAUUUUCCACUUCACUCUGAAAUUCUUUGAACUUUUUAAAUGUUUCAGACUUGUGUUUCAUUAAGUAGAUAUACCCAUAUCUGCUCAAAUCAUCUGUGAAGGUGAGAAAAUAACGAUAUCCGCCACGAGCUUCAGCAUUCAUCGGACCACAUACAUCUGUAUGUAUGAUUUCCAACAAAUCUGUUGCUCUCUCUAUAGUGCCGGAGAACAGUGUUUUAGUCAUCUUGCCCAUGAGGCACGGUUCGCAAGUGAUUCAUAAUCAAGUGAUUCCAAAAGUCCAUCAGUAUGGAGUUUCUUCAUGCGCUUUACACCGAUAUGACCUAAACGGCAGUGCCACAAAUAAGUUGCACUCUCAUUAUCAACUCUGCAUCUUUUGGCUUCGACAUUAUGGAUAUGUGUAUCACUACUUUCGAGAUUCAAUAAAAAUAGACCACUCUUCAAGGGUGCAUGACCAUAAAAGAUAUUACUCAUAUAAAUAGAACAACCAUUAUUCUCUGAUUUAAAUGAAUAACCGUCUCGCAUCAAACAAGAUCCAGAUAUAAUGUUCAUGCUCAACGCUGGCACCAAAUAACAAUUAUUCAGGUCUAAAACUAAUCCCGAAGGUAGAUGUAGAGGUAGCGUGCCGACCGCGAUCACAUCGACUUUGGAACCGUUUCCCACGCGCAUCGUCACCUCGUCCUUCGCCAGUGCUCGCUUAUUCCGUAGUCCCUGUUUCGAGUUGCAAAUAUUAGCAACAGAACCAGUAUCAAAUACCCAGGUGCUACUACGAGCUCUAGUAAGGUACACAUCAAUAACUUGUAUAUCACAUAUACCUUUGUUCACCUUGCCAUCCUUCUUAUCCGCCAAAUACUUGGGGCAGUUCCGCUUCCAGUGUCCAGUCUGCUUGCAGUAGAAGCACUCAGUUUCAGGCUUAGAUCCAGACUUGGGUUUCUUCUCUUGAGAAGCAACUUGCUUGCCGUUCUUCUUGAAGUUCCCCUUCUUCUUUCCUUUGCCCUUUUUCUUGAAACUAGUGGUCUUGUUGACCAUCAACACUUGAUGCUCCUUCUUGAUUUCUACCUCCGCAGCUUUUAGCAUUGCGAAGAGCUCGGGAAUUGUCUUGUUCAUCCCUUGCAUAUUAUAGUUCAUCACGAAGCUCUUGUAGCUUGGUGGUAGUGAUUGGAGAAUUCUGUCAAUGACGCUAUCAUUCGAAAGAUUAACUCCCAGUUGAAUCAAGUGAUUAUUAUACCUAGACAUUUUGAGUAUAUGCUCACUGACAGAACUAUUCUCCUCCAUCUUGCAGCUGUAGAACUUAUUGGAGACUUCAUAUCUCUCAGUCCGGGCAUUUUCUUGAAAUAUUAACUUCAACUCCUGGAACAUCUCAUAUGCUCCAUGACGUUCAAAACGUCAUUGAAGACCCGGUUCUAAGCCGUAAAGCAUGGCACAUUGAACUAUCGAGUAGUCAUCAGCUUUGCUCUGCCAGACGUUCUUAACGUCGUCAGUUGCAUCAGCAGCAGGCCUGGCACCCAGCGGUGCUUCCAGGACGUAAUUCUUCUGUGCAGCAAUGAGGAUAAUCCUCAAGUUACGGACCCAGUCCGUGUAAUUGCUAUCAUCAUCUUUCAACUUUGCUUUCUCAAGGAACGCAUUAAAAUUCAACGGAACAACAGCACGAGCCAUCUAUCUACAACAACCAUAGACAAGCAAAAUACUAUCAGGUACUAAGUUCAUGAUAAAUUUAAGUUCAAUUAAUCAUAUUACUUAAGAACUCCCACUUAGACAGACAUCUCUCUAGUCAUCUAAGUGAUCACGUGAUCCAAAUCAACUAAACCAUAACCGAUCAUCACGUGAGAUGGAGUAGUUUUCAGUGAUGAACAUCAGUAUGUUGAUCAUAUCUACUAUAUGAUUCAUGCUCGACCUUUCGGUCUCCGUGUUCCGAGGCCAUAUCUGCAUAUGCUAGGCUCGUCAAGUUUAACCUGAGUAUUCUGCGUGUGCAAAACUGGCUUGCACCCGUUGUAGAUGGACGUAGAGCUUAUCACACCCGAUCAUCACGUGGUGUCUGGGCACGACGAACUUUGGCAACGGUGCAUACUCAAGGAGAACACUUCUUGAUAAUUUUAAGUGAGAGAUCAUCUUAAAAUGCUACCGUCAAACAAAGCAAGAUAAGAUGCAUAAAGGAUAAACAUCACAUGCAAUCAAUAUAAGUGAUAUGAUAUGGCCAUCAUCAUCUUGUGCUUGUGAUCUCCAUCUUCGAAGCACCGUCGUGAUCACCAUCGUCACCGGCGCGACACCUUGAUCUCCAUCGUAGCAUCGUUGUCGUUACGCCAUCUAUUGCUUCUACGACUAUCGCUACCGCUUAGUGAUAAAGUAAAGCAAUUACAGGGCGUUUGCAUUUCAUACAAUAAAGCGACAACCAUAUGGCUCCUGCCAGUUGCCGAUAACUUCGGAUACAAAACAUGAUCAUGUCAUAUAAUAAAAUAUAGCAUCACGUCUUGACCAUAUCACAUUACAACAUGCCCUGCAAAAACAAGUUAGACGUCCUCUACUUUGUUGUUGCAAGUUUUACGUGGCUGCUACGGGCUUAGCAAGAACCGUUCUUACCUACGCAUCAAAACCACAACGAUAGUUCGUCAAGUUAGUGCUGUUUUAACCUUCGCAAGGACCGGGCGUAGCCACACUCGAUUCAGCUAAAUUGAGAGAGACAGACACCCGCCAGUCACCUUUAAGCACGAGUGCUCGUAACGGUGAAACCAGUCUCGCGUAAGCGUACGCGUAAUGUCGGUCCGGGCCGCUUCAUCUCACAAUACCGCCGAACCAAAGUAUGACAUGCUGGUAAGCAGUAUGACUUGUAUCGCCCACAACUCACUUGUGUUCUACUCGUGCAUAUAACAUCAACACAUAAAACCUAGGCUCAGAUGCCACUAUUGGGGAACGUAGUAAUUUCAAAAAAUUUCCUACGCACACGCAAGAUCAUGGUGAUGACAUAGCAACGAGAGGGGAGAGUGUUGUCCACGUACCCUCGUAGACCGUAAGCGGAAGCGUUAUGACAACGCGGUUGAUGUAGUCGUACAUCUUCACGAUCCGACCGAUCCAAGCACCGAACGUACGGCACCUCCGAGUUCAGCACACGUUCAGCUCGAUGACGAUCCCCGGGCUCCGAUCCAGGAGAAGCUUCGGGGAUGAGUUCCGUCAGCACGACGGCGUGGUGACGAUGAUGAUGUUCUAUCGGUGCAGGGCUUCGCCUAAACUCCGCGAUGAUAUGAGCGACGUGAAAUAUGGUGGAGGGGGGCACCNNNNNNNNNNNNNNNNNNNNNNNNNNNNNNNNNNNNNNNNNNNNNNNNNNNNNNNNNNNNNNNNNNNNNNNNNNNNNNNNNNNNNNNNNNNNNNNNNNNNNNNNNNNNNNNNNNNNNNNNNNNNNNNNNNNNNNNNNNNNNNNNNNNNNNNNNNNNNNNNNNNNNNNNNNNNNNAAGGAGGGCGCGCCAAGGGGGGAGUCCUACUCCAGGAGUAGGACUCCCUUCUUUCCUAGUUGGAGUAGGAGAAGGGGGAAAGAGGAGGAAGAGGGGAAGGAUGGGGGGCGCCGCCCCCCUCUCCUUGUCCUAUUCGGACUAGGGAGGGGAGGGGGCGCGGCCCACCUCUUGCCUCCUCUCCUCUUCUCCCUUAUGGCCCAUGUAGGCCCAAUAACCCCCGGGAGGGUUCCGGUAACCCCCCCGGUACUCCGGUAAAAUGCCGAUUCCACCCGGAACACUUCCGAUGUCCAAACAUAGGCUUCCAAUAUAUCAAUCUUUAUGUCUCGACCAUUUCGAGACUCCUCGUCAUGUCCGUGAUAAUAUCCGGGACUCCGAACAAACUUCGGUACAUCAAAACUUAUAAACUCAUAAUGAAACUGUCAUCGUAACGUUAAGCGUGCGGACCCUAUGGGUUUGAGAACUAUGUAGACAUGACCUAGAACUAUUCUCGGUCAAUAACCAAUAGAGGAACCUAGAUGCCCAUAUUGGUUCCUACAUAUUCUACGAACAUCUUUAUCGGUCAAACCGCAUAACAACAUACGUUGUUCCCUUUAUCAUCGGUAUGUUACUUGCCCGAGAUUCGAUCGUCGGUAUCCAAUACCUAGUUCAAUCUCGUUACCGGCAAGUCUCUUUACUCGUUACGUAAUGCAUCAUUCCGUAACUAACUCAUUAGUUACAUUGCUUGCAAGGCUUAUAGUGAUGUGCAUUACCGAGAGGGCCCAGAGAUACCUCUCCGACAAUCGGAGUGACAAAACCUAAUCUCGAAAUACGCCAACCCAAACAUCUACCUUUGGAGACACCUGUAGUACUCCUUUAUAAUCACCCAGUUACGUUGUGACGUUUGGUAGCACCCAAAGUGUUCCUCCGGUAAAUGGGAGUUGCAUAAUCUCAUAGUUUCAGGAACAUGUAUAAGUCAUGAAGAAAGCAAUAGCAAUAUACUAAACGAUCAAGUGCUAGGCUAACGGAAUGGGUCAUGUCAAUCACAUCAUUCUCCUAAUGAUGUGAUCCCAUUAAUCAAAUGACAAUCUAUGGUCAGGAAACAUAACCAUCUUUGAUUAAUGAGCUAGUCAAGUAGAGGCAUACUAGUGACUGUAUGUUUGUCUAUGUAUUCACACAUGUAUCAUGUUUCCGGUUAAUACAAUUCUAGCAUGAAUAAUAAACAUUUAUCAUGAUAAGAGGAAAUAAAUAAUAACUUUAUUAUUGCCUCUAGGGCAUAUUUCCUUCAAGGGGUAGGGUUCGUAGCUUGACUACAUGAGUUCACUGUAACUUCACCUCCGGAUCCAGGCGAGGUACUCUGUAAUUUAGAAACAGAGAUUCACUACGGUGGGUCAAUUACGGCACAAUCGCUGGUGAGAACAUCAGAAGAACUUAUUUUCAAACUGAAUUAAGGAAAAACAAUUGUUGCAAGUAAAUUUACCCUCUAAUUACUGAUAAAGCGCAACAACAUUCAGCUAAUGAGACAUGAGAAGAAAACUGGGCAACAUCAAAUAUCCUCUCAUUGAUUCUGCUAUAUAACAUAUAUUCACAUAAACCAUAAGAUAUGAUUGGAACCGCAAUCUCUAAACCAAAACGGCAACAAUAGAAUCAAAGUCCACUGUAUUACUAUCUAGAAAUUGACGAGGACUACAGAAGUAUUUUUAGUGUACAUCAAGCUUACAAGGAAAAAAAAUCAUAGCUCUUGAACUGCACAUACAUGCUUCACUAACAAAUCUUGGCCUAGCCAAAACAAAUUCACCACACCUGUACAUGAACAUUCAGGGAAAGAAAUGAAACACCACACGUGAAAAUGCAUCCUGAUAACUAAUUAACUACUCAGCAAAUCAAAUGGUAUGUUCGAAUGCCUCUUUUGAUCCUAUGAAACUGUAUACAACAGAUAAGUAAUUAUCUACUCGCCAAAUCCAGUAGUAUAUUUGAGUGACUCUUCUUAUCCUUUCUCUGAAACUAAUACAAAAGAUAACUAAUUAGCCACCCGCAAAUCGAGUGUGAUAUUUGAACGCCUCUUCUGAUCAUUUCUCUUAAACAGUUUAGUUUACACCAACUUUAGUACUGAGCAGAAUAUGUAUGUAAAUAAACCAGAGGAGACUGGAAUUUACAUCCCUGAUUAACAAAAUCAGCUAUGUUACUAAAGGGCAGUGGCAAAGGAUAACCAUAUGCAGUUAAGCCAUGCUUAUCACCCAAUUUCAGAACCAGUCAGCCUUCUAUAAGUAUUAUCAUGCGUGCAAUCUGACACGAAGGCCAAAACAACACUAUCUAUCUUCACAAAAAUCCAUUAUACGCUUCGGUACAUCUGAGAGUUAAGAAUCUUCAUUUUUAUUUAGAUGAAAUUACUUGGUAGCUAACAAACAUACCUCGAGGGAUGUGCACAUGAGAGAUCGCCGGUGCCCUUUCUAGCUUCGGCGGCAGACAUCCUCCCUUUGCUCCCCUUCCAAUAGAUAUUAGAGUACAUUAAACCAAAAACCAAAAGGGAACAAGGGAGUGGAAGACCAGGAAUUAAUCGGACCACAAGAAAUCUAAGGGAAAAAACUAAAAGAAGGCCAAACAAUACUUGUGCAGGACCAAAUGACGCAUCGCAUAGCAAUGAAACUGGAGGUUAGAAAACUACUCAGACUUUCAUGCCAUCAUGGAUUCAAUCUGAUCUAAAUGUAACCAAAUAAUGCAUCGGAACCAUAUUUACUACUAAAAGGGCAAGCACAAGCUUGCCAAAUUUACCACAAAUGUAGCAUUGCAAUCAAAUGGGUCCAAUCUUGAUGAAAGCGAAAAUGUAUCAUAUAGCACGCACGCACACGAACAGUCACAUUAUCCUCAUCUUGCUGAAAGCAAAAAAUGUAUCAUGUACUGUAAAUUCAUACCUUGACCUGCAAAGGGUAUGGUCCAGUUUCAAUCAUGUUGGCCUUUAGAUAAGUUUUUGAACAACAACUUCACCACCUGCACAAAAAGCAGAGGAAAGCUAGUAAAUACUUCCAACAUGUUCACCUCAGUAUAGUGGUCCUACUUAUCCAACGACCCAUAUAUCUCAAAUAGAACAGCUUAAUAUCUCAAACAACAGUGAACGUCCAGCAUGUUCUCCAAAGUUACAUAAUAUAACAUGUUCAAAGGUUGUCAAGAUCAAAAAAAUAGCGAGGGGAUUUUGUAGUCACAUGGCAAAGGUAAUAAAAUUUCUUCUAAUAUAAAUCUCAGACAUCUCAAUGAAAUAAAUAAUUUGAUACAUAAUUGAAACUGAACCCUAAUCUUUUGUUGUUGAGUUGUCUUUUCGUGACUAUCAACACUUUCAGUUUUAGCGUAUGAGAUGUUUCUCUGCGUCCUCCUCCUCCCCAAGAAGUUAGGUAUUAAUUUUGAAAAUUGACAUUUGAGUGGUUUGGCGACAUGGCAUAGUAUCGGGAGGUUUCUGUGAGGAGCGAGGUGAGACGGCCACUGCCGCUGAAGGAGUGGGGAUGAUGCCAGAAUUUGACAAAAUACCAAAUUUGCAAUUCACAUGUAUCGGUUAUCAUCAGACUGUGAGACAGAGGACACCGCAUAACCAAGCCACGGCAAACAUGUAGAAGGGGAACCAUAAGUGAAAAACGAUGAAAGGAAAAAACGUAAUGGUAAAAGACAUAUAGUAUCUUCAUAUAUGAAAAUUUAUGUAAGGAAAAAAAUGUAAUGGUAUUCUACGGGGAUGUGUUGUAACUUGCACCUUGAGAUAAAAUUGUUUCUGUCAGCAGCAUGACUGCAUCUUGCAAGAACAUGUAGUCUCUCUUCUCUGUUUUGUCUUCUAUGUUCUGUGAACACAUAAACAGAACGAAUAUUAGACGAAAUAUGAAUUGUCUGGUUGCCUAAGAAAGUGCAUCAGAUUAAACUGUAUAGAUAGUAUAAUAAAUGUUCACUUAAUGCAUUCAUUAACGGCUAGGGAGACCAAAUCAUAAUAAUCUAGGCAGACCACACCAAACAACAGAGGCCAAUGAACAUGCCAUUCUUCCUAUUCUCUUUCAGAAGCAUCAAUCCAACAGAAAACAAACCGAACCCUUCGUUUUUUCACAUGUCACUCGACAAAGAACAUCAUUUUCCAGCAAGCAAACAUGAAGGUGCCAAGUAAAAACACAAGACUAAACAGACACGAGCCAAGUGGACCAAUCCAAAUGCACCAGACCAAUCCAAAAGGCACAUGUCCUGCUGCAUUCACCUCUUCCUGAAAGCUCACUACAAUCCUAGAGAAAGAUCCCAACCCUAGCAAGAUCCAGACAACUAAGAAAUUGGAGAACACACUAUAUAAAAUUGUCAAGAAUGAUAAUAAGCAUGGAGAACUAAAAUGUACUAUCACUUCCAUGUAGCUGAGAACCUAAAAUUGGCAAGAAUACAUCAUAGCAGAUUUAACAAUUUCCCAAAACAAUAUAGAUUCUAGUGUACGUGCAUUGAGCAGAAUAUGGCCAACAAGCCAAGCAAGGCAACAAACAUGUACUCUGUAAAUAAUUAGCUAAAUCCAAGGCCUUCCUUGGCAACAAGGUAAAAACAAAACAAGAAAGACAAAGAACUCUUCUUUGGAACCUAGCUAAAUCAGAGAAUUGGCUAGAUAAGAUAGAUGUGCAGGGGUAGGAAGAGGGGGUGGAGCUCACCAGGUUCAGGGGGGUAGGAGGAGGGAGGAGCCAUGAGGGCUCGUGCCUCGUCCACCUGCAGCAAUUGCUACUCAUCCAGAUCGGAACCGACCUUGUCCACCAGAGGAGCAGGGACGCGUCCAUGCACCUGUGUGACCAAAAGCAGCAACAACGUGAGGGGAGGGGAGGGGAUUAGGGUUGGAGCAGGGGGGAGGGCGGCAUCCCUAGCAGGCCAUUGCAUGGGCGCGGAGCAGGCAUAGCACAAGCACUCGGAGGCCAAGGUCGGACGACAUCGCCAACGAAUCUACGAGCACCUUUGCCGCCGCCUGACCUGCUCACUCUCCCUCUUCUCUUCCCUUCCCUUUCCUUCCCUUCUGAUGACGAGAGGGCGAGGCGGCGGGCGGCAUGGUGCGAGGGAGACGAGGAGAGAGGUCCAUGGCGGCGCGGUCCGAGCGGCAGCGGCGGCGGCGAGAUCUGCGGGGCAUUGGUGGCGGCAAAGUGGGCGGGGCGGCGAGGUGUGGUGGAGGGAGAGGGCUGGGGCGAGCGGGGCUGGGAUGCGGGAGGAUGGGGUUGAGGGCGCGAGUGCGGGGGAGAGGCGGCUAGGUCAUCUUCACGGGAGCGGGCCCUUUUAUAUCCCGUGCGAGUGAAAUUAUGAAAAUGCCCCCAGCGGGGCAGGCUAUUUACGCGCGGUGGCACGAAACUGGAGUAACUAUUCAUUCCAGCAGUAACUUUUUUUAUCCUACGGACGAGGUCGUUACAGGGGUCGAUCCGACGACCCAGAUCCGAUCAAGCAACCAGAUCCGACAGCCAAGAAUCCCAAAUCGCUGUGGUGCGGGAUGAGGAGCUUCUAUUGUUAUUUCUGGAUGGACGCAAGCGGGCCGCCGACCAUGAAGGAGCGCGGGCGCUACCGGCCGCCGUAGAGUGGGAGCCAUGGGCACUGUCGGCCGCCACCGCGGGAUAGCCACGGGCGCCGCCAGCCGCCGCUGGGAUUGCGAUAGGUGGAAAAGUAGGCGGCGGCGUUGUAUGCUGCCUGAGUGAUGUUGUGCGUGAAGGAAUGCACCAGCCACUAGGGAUAAGCUGCGAGCGCCGCACGUGUUGGGCUAAGAAUUGGGCCGAUAAAGGCUCAGGAUAACUUUCUGUAUGUAUCACCUAGGAGGAGAAACUAAUUAACGAGCGCUCCUUCGGGAGCCUCGCAAUGAUCAUCGUCACUUGGCGCGCUCUCAGCCAUUCGCCACGUGUCACGUUUUGGGCGCUUCCUUUGGAUUUUUUUUAUUUUUUCGCGCGCGUUUUUGGCUUUUUAAAUAGUAUUUUAUUGACGUUUUGGUUUUCCAUUGGUUUUCCCUAGCUUUUCGAACAAAAAAAAUCAAAUUGUUUUUCUGUGCAAACAAACUUUUUUUCGCGAGAGUCACGGUUUUGUUUUCGGGAGAGGCACGGUUGUGCUUUCGCGAGAGGCACGUCCGUGCCUGUUGGAAACGGAAAAAAAUGUGUUUUCUGUUUUUUUUCCUUUCGCGAGAGGCACGGUUUUGCUUCUGCGAGAGGCACGGUUGUGCUUUCGCGAGAGUCACGGCCGUGCCUCUUGGAAAUUAAAAAAACGCAUUUUUUGUUUUUUUCUUUCGUGAGAGGCACGGUUUUGCUUACGCGAGAGCCACGGUUGUGAUUUCGUUAGAGGCACGGGCGUGCCUCUUUCGGAAAGGGAAAAAACCCGUGCUUCCGGUUUUUUUUUUCAUCCGGUUUUUUUCGUGAAAAAAAAGUUUGUCAAAACCUAUCAACAUGGGAUCUAGUUUUAAAGAUCUCAACAUGAGGAAUCCAAGGGCGAAAGCGGUUCGAGAUUUGGAUGCACGGUUUAAGAGAUAAAACGUUUUGAAUAAACGAAUCUAUGAAAAAAGGGAAAACUCCCAGGUUACGACAAGUGGCGCACAUGCAGAGCCACUUGUCACAACCUGAGGAAGUUGAAAUGAUCUCCGCAAGGAGUACUCUUUAAUCAGUGAUUUCGGGAAAAAGGUGUGUUUUUAUCGUGGAUGGGCUAUUGAGUCGGUUAGUUCGGGGAAUUCGGUCAGCUGAGUCCAACGACCGAACCCACCCAAGUAAUUUCGGUUUCUGGUAAUUGCUAACCGAACAAAUAACUGAAGUUUCAGUCCUCGGUUAUUCCGGCUUCGGUCCCGGUUUUUUCGGCUCCGGUUUUCGGUUCUCAGUUUUUUCGCCCACCUAGGCUAGCCGGAGCCACUUGCAGGUGAAAACAUCCAGAUGAUUGGUGGUUUACCUACAAGCGUUUCAAGGGUAAAAAUCUGCCACUGGAACGAAUGGAAGAUAUAGUGCCUGUUCUGGUUUAGGUAAGUGAAAACUCUAAAGUAGUGUGUGAUAGCAGAUUGUACAUGCCUGAGUGCUCAAGAAAUACCCCUGGCAAAAGCAAAUGUAUACUCCCUCCAUGCCAUAUUAGUUAUCGCUCAAACAUAUGUAUCUACUUCUAGAUACAUCCGUCUGAGCGACAAUUAAUAUGAGAUGGAGGGAGUAUUUCUGAACGGAAAAUUACUUGGUAGUAGUUCUCGUUAUGAGGCUUGAAUAAAUUCAAGGCCUUGCACGGAUGCCUUCUUCAUGAUGGUGAAGGAAAUCAUUCCAGAGAUUGCUUAACAUCAAAGUUUAGGAAACCAUUCAGAUUUAUGUCUCUGAACAGUUCUUUGUAAGCAUUUUGCCAUUACCUGCUCAAAUCCCCAGGUUGGGCUCGAGACCAACCAGCCCCUGGGUAUCCUCAGUGUCCAAUGGACAUGCAUCCUCAGUGUCCAAUUGGGGAUUUCCUUUUUAGAGCUUCAGGAGUUGCAUUUGGUAUCAGCUUUUUUUUUGUUGAUAUAUUCUUCUUAGGACAAUUCAAGCCAUUAGAUGUAAAACACUGAGAGACCACAUAACUGAAUAAUCUGUGCUAGGUAUAGCUGUAACUUUAGCUGCACCAGUAUUGCUAGGAUAUGACUCUCUAAGUCUUGCAUCUGAGUCCAGCGGAUAGACUUUGAUGGAAGAUUUGCUCGCACAAGUUGUAGUAUUAGGCGGCACAUUUUAUAUGGCUGAGUGUAAAAUGGAGUAGAUAGCACAAGCCUUGGGAUUUGUGUGACAUCUGCACAGCAAUCAAAGAGGAAUCAAGUGCAUGUAAUUACUAUUUACUCCCUUUUUAAACUAAUAUAAGAUCUUUUAGAUCACUAAAAUAGUGAUCUUAAAAAGAUCUUAUAGUAUUAUCAGUUUACACUUGAUAGGCCUAGCCUCUGCUUUAGCUUUGCAGUUGAUUUCACUCUGGUAGUGUGCGUUUUCCUCGAUAUCUCUUUUAUGCCUACUCAUGUGAAGGACCGCUGCCCUGGUUUCAGGCAACUUGUGCGUGGCUCGUAGGAGCUGUGGAGACAUGGUUGGACUUCAUUACAUGUUGUUGCGACAAUCAAGAGUUGGAAGAGUCCAGAUGGCGGCAGUUUGAUGCUUACCUGUCAGUCUUCUGAUGCGUAAACACAGAGCAGAACACCUUGAUGCUCCAACGGAAUGCAAGAGAAGAACAGACUUGUUGUGGAUGCUAAAUUCUGUGCUUGUUUGUUUUGCUGUCUGUCUCAUUCUGUCAUUCGCCUUG
This 75584-nucleotide long non-coding RNA is filed under the name Triticum aestivum (bread wheat). Its description in RNAcentral is "long non-coding RNA (TAES_LNC028148)". Lineage: Eukaryota; Viridiplantae; Streptophyta; Magnoliopsida; Poales; Poaceae. The record is from RNAcentral.